GUUAGGGAGGUCAACAAUUCACUGGUUCUGAACAUUGUAGUGAACGAGGAAGACACUGCCUCUUCUAAAGACAUGCCCUCGACCAUAGUUGUUCACCCACACCAUAUUGCGGUGCACAAAGUCCCUACAACACCGAUUGAUGGUUCAGUCACACCAGCCUAUGCCAUUAAUUCGGUUCUAGACCCGUCGCAACAGUCCCUGCCUUUGUUGCAGACUGGGUUCUCAUGAACAGCAACAUAUGCACACAAAUCCUGCUGACAGAUGAUGCAGUUCCAUUAGCUGCGGCCAGUGUGUUUAGCUCGGCUCCCGUUGCAAGUUCAUUAGCCACGCAUGAAGUUGGUCUUGUGCAGCAUAGUAAUCCAAGGAUUCAACAUGCUAUGGAGCUUUGACAGUGAAUCAAAGACUAUAACAAGAGGGCAGCUGAACCUCCUUUCAUUCCUGUCUUGUCUAAAAAGCAAAACCAGAAUUUAAAGAAACAACAACUUACUGGGAAGCCGCCACAUAGAACUUGUUCCACGGGAGAGCCCUCGCCAUCUGCCCAAUGAAUUUUUUCUAUUGAAAUCUUAGAGGGGCCUUGGUUGUUCAUGGGGGACUUUAAUCGUGAAGGCAGUUGAUAAGUUGGCUAAUAUAGAUAUGCACUACAGGGUUCAAUUUGAUUGACGACUUUUUCUCCAGAAUUGAACUUUGAUUUCUUUCAGAACAAAUACGGUCUGCCUAAUUACAGAUUCCCCUAGUCUAUUGGUUUCCGUUUCCUUUUUCUUUCUUGUUUUGAGAGUUUUAGCCUAAUCCCCCCUCUUUGUAUAUAUUUUCCCCCCUUUUUUUAAUAAUAUUUUGAUCUUGACGGUAUAGGAUGGAUGUUUAUCGAGGUGCCAACCUAGUUGGGAUGUCGGUGUUACCUCUUGAUGUGUGUCAUUUCUCCUAGCUUAUCCAAAAAAUAUUAUUUAUUUUUCAAUUUAUGGAAUGUAUUUUUUUUAUUAAAAUAUGCAUAACAAAUGGUUUUUAUUAAUUAUUUUCAUAAAAAUAUUUUUUAAAUAUUUAAAAUACCCUAAUUAAUUAAUUUAAUUGAUUUAAAAUAGUAAGUAUGAAACAUCUUUAACAUACUAGGCAAAGUCAAAAUUCCAAAAGGAAACUACUAGAAAAUUAUAUCUUUCCAGUUAACACUGAAUAAUAUAUUUUUUUGAACAAUUAACACUGAAUAAUAUAUUUUUUUGAACAAUUAACACUGAAUAAUUGUUGAUACUUGUUUACGGAAUAUUUUCUCUAGUGAUAUCCUUUAAUAUUAUUAAUACUUAAUUGGAAAGGAAUAAUUUUGUAGUAAUAUGCUUUAGAAAUUUUUCCUUUGACUAGUACAUUAAAGAAUUUUCAUAUUUACUCAUUUAAAUCAAUUAAAAAAUUGAGUAUAUCAUAUUAAAUAUUUAAAUAAGAUUUUUAGUGGGCUUGAUUUUUCCUCUGGUUAAACAAGGUAUUCUUGUGUAUAAACGGGAAGACUAAUUAUUUGAGAUCACUAAAGUUCAGUUAAAAUAUUUGUAUCUCUAAACAUAUAUAUUUUCUAUAUACAAGCAUAAAAAAUUAAAUCUUAAAGUAGUUGAACAACACAACACAAGCAAGAAAAAUAAAAAGCCAGAGAAAUAGAUUUUUGAGUUCACAAAUGUAUGACUUCUGGCUGGUAAUGGAUAUUUUUAUGGGCUAAAGAAAGAUCAAAAAGGCAGAGAUUUAUUUAUUUUUACUGACUUUUUCUAGUUGAAAAGUUGUGUCGAUUGGAAUAAAUAGAAGUUGUCUUGAAAUGGUGACAACUUUUAUUAUUUUUUCUUUUCUAGGAUAUAAUAUAAAUAGAAGUAUGCUUAUGUGAUAUCCAAAAAAAAUAAAAUUGAGAUUUGAGAGUUUAAUAACUACUAUAUUUGUCUUGUGCCAAAAACGCUACUAUAUUUAUUCAUUUUAAGAUAUUGUGACUUUUAAUACUUGCUAAGACCGUUUCUUUUACUCAAAUUUGGAACGAUCUUAUAUAUAUGGAGAUUAUUAAAGAAGACCUUAAUUUAACCUUUUAUUGAGAGGAAGAUUUUAAUUUAUCUUUGUAAAUACAAACUUACCAUUACUAUCAAACAUUUAUGAGUCAUGUGCAUUCAUUUUAGUUGUUCAUCUGUAUAACAUUCAUACAAAAUAUGUAACGGUGUAAUCAUAUGUGAAUAACGAGUGUUUACAGUGCAAUUUGGAUAUGUUUUGAGGUAUCUGGUCCAAAAAAAAUUCACAUGAGAUUCGAUCUAGUCCAAUUAAAUAUGGUUUUAUUUGGAUGAUUUUUUGAAUAUCCAAAAUUAAAUUGUAAUAUUGUAAUAUUUGACAAGUGGUUCUAAAGUACAUCAAAAGUUGACGUCAUCAGAAGCAUGUCAUCACAAGCAAGUUUACCAGAAGCUGACAUCAUCAGAAGUUCUGAAGAUCAUCACAACCUUACCUCAACGAGAAUCCUCGCAAAAAUCCUCUCAAAAGGCCAGCUCCUUAUCUGAACUAUCCUUUGUCUCCUCAUCAGAACAAACAAACUCUCUUAUAUAUCCCUCAUUCACAUGAGCCAGUCAACAUUUAUGAACCAGUAAAUCUUGUCAUUUCCCCCAACAAGUCUGAUAUUAACUCAAAUGAAGAUCCUAAAGAUCUUGAUGAAUAUCUUCAAAACCUUAAGGAACAUAGAAAGGAUCUUAAUACGUAAGAAUUUCUAGAUUGCAUAUCCUCUGUUUGAAAAUACUAGUAUUUGUCUCCCAUUGCAUAGCAAUAUGUAAUGAAUAAAAGUAAUCGUAGCACAUCCUUUUGAAUUGAUUUAGGCUGUGUUUGGUAACACAAAAAAGCUAGCUUAUAGCUUGUUGGAUUAGUUUAUAAGCUCGUUAGAUGAAAACGUGACGUGAUUGGUAACAAGCUUUUUCCAUGAGCUUAUAGUGUUUUUUAAAAAGCUAUUUCAAGUAGCUUUUUAGCUUAUAGCUGGUAGCUUUUUAUAUUUUCUUCCAACUUUAACCCUAUUAAUUUAAAUUAAUUAUUUUUUCAUUAAACAACUACCCAUGUUCAUCUUUAUAACCGCCCCAUUUUUCCUUAAAAAAAAUGCCACGUUUGUUUUUUUUAAGGAGCACUUUAUAUAUAUAUAUAUAUAUAUAUAUAUAUAUAUAUAUAUAUAUAUAUAUAUAUAUAUAUUUUAAGAAAAUGCUUUAUAUUUUGCUAUAACUAACCUGCCGUACACCACACAAAAAAUAACUAGCCUAUUUUUUUUUUUUUUUGAAGGAAAAAAUAACUAGUCUAUUGUACGUUGUAAAAUAUUAUAUAUUUUAGCUCACAUUUUGUUUCCACCUUUCUAUUAUUUUUGGGAUUCAUAAAGCAGAGCUCAAAAUUGUCGGUGAAUUUUUUUUUAGGAUUAAAGGUUGAAGAAUAAGACCAAAGGUUUGAAUAUUUAUCGGGACCAAAAACAUAUUUAACUAUAAUUAAAAAUAUUAAAAAAUAAAUACAUUACAAAAAAAUUAUGUGUCUAUAUGUAUAUUAAAAAAAUGUCCUUUUAUGUCAUUUUAUAUUUAUCAGCCACUUCAACAGCUAAUUUUACCAAACACAUUAUUUUUAAUAAGCAAGCUUUUCAGCUAUAAGCUAUCAGCUAUCAGUCAUCAGCUAGCUUUUCAGCUAUAAGCUAUCAGCUAUCAGUCAUCAGCUAGCUUUUCAGCUAUCAGCUAGCUUAUAGCUUAUUUUUACCAAACAGAGCCUUAGUAUAAUAAUAUUUUAUUUUCACUUUCAAAUAACCAAAGUAGUAUUUACUAAUAGGUAUUCAUUAUGGGUUCGUUUGGAAUACCUUAUUUUAGAGCUUAUAUAAAGCAGCUUAUGCACCAAAAUAAAAUUAUGUAUUAUUUUUAAGGUAGUUUAUGAAGAUACAAUUUUCGUUAGUGGGAGUUUAUAAAUUAAAAUAAAAACUUAUUUAUUUGCAUAAGCUAUUUUCGUAAGCUUGAAAUAAACAUAAUCAAAACGGGGUGUCUACUUAAUUUAGAAUUUAAAUAAACAUAUGACUAAUAAAAGGUAGCAUCAUCAAGUUGAAUAAAAAAAGGGUAAUUUUGGUCCAAAAAAAAAGGUAAUUAACAUGGUGGUGUAAGCUGCUGAUAGAUUUUUUUUAGGCUCUAUAACCAUUUGAUCGAGGAUUCAAUUGUUUUUUUUUUUUACAAAAGAGGAUUCAAUGGUUUUUUUUUGUUUUUUUGAAGGAGAAAGAGGAUUCAAUGGUUAAAAGGUGUAUUUGAGGAAACAUAUAUUAGCAUAGGUUAAUUCUUUAAACAAAUCUCAGUUUGAGAAAUUAAUCGUUUUUUUGUGGUAUUCGGAGUUUGAAACCCGAACCUUACAUAUUGUUGUGAAUCCGGAUAAAACUCACACCAAUAUAAACAAAGAUGUGUAGUGCAAAGGGGAGUGGUAAUCUAUGUGUAAAGUGUCUCCAAGCAACAACAACAAAAACAGACCUAGAUCUAAUGUAGAGCAACACCACAAGUGUAUCCAAAGCAAUAAAGAUAAGCAAGAAAGGAAGAACAAACACACCAAAAAAUUGUUGACCUAGUUCGGUUCAAUAUGAUCUAAUCUGGGGGAGAGAGCAGCUCUCCAAUCCACUAUGAUGAAAGUGUUACAAGAAAAAUAGCUUGCAAGCUUACACAAGAACAAGUCCUAGUUUCUACCCAUUUGUGUUUCCCCACUCUCACAAUAUGAACCCUAAAAGAGAAGACACAAGAGGAAGUUUUUGAUCCUUCCAAUGGUGAAAUCUCACUAUCCAAGGUGUUUACAAUGUUUCCCAACCCAAGAGAUCCUCACUACAAAGACACUCAACCCUAGAGUUCCCUCCUUUGUAAUCCAAGUUUUUCUCUCUUCAAACUCUUCCAAACUCUACUCCAAAAUCUGCACAAGAACACUUAAAUACUAGUCUUCCACUAAUAAAAUCGUGUCACGAUUUCCAAGUCGUGUCACGAUUUGUAUGUACGUCACAAGGUACGACCAGUCCUUAUCAUGGAAACUUAACGAGCAAGUUUGAAAAUCGUGUCACGAUUUCCCAAGAUCGUGUCACGAUUUGGCACCCUGCAAACCAGCUCAUGGCAUCACAAAAUCGUGUCACGUUGCCAAAUUCGUGUCAUGAUUUCUCUGUUCUUCCAGACCACAAAUUUGAAGCCAAAUCUCAACACAUAUAUUAUGUAUUGUCUCUACAAACUGACUAAACUCACGAGGACAGUUUGAGAAAUUAAUCUACCCACACGAAAGAGUAUCUUAAAAAAUAUCAGGAAACAAAGUAAGCUUAAUCGUUUCAUAAUAAAUGACCAUGAUGCUUGUAAAAAUAAAUUAAACCUUUUUUUUCCCACAAAAAACAAACCUUCUUGAUUCAUAAAAUAGAUUAUGGUUUAACCAAGUUGUUUGGGCUUCAAUAGCAAGAAGCUCCUUCUAAGGAUGUACCUAAGAAAUACAGGGUUCCAUUUUUUGGAGGAACAAUGUUUGACCAAUGCAGAUGUCUUUACGCAUAAGCCAGAUUAAUCGUCCAUCAUUAAAUUGAUGGGUCAGAAACUGCUGCGAAAGAAAAAAAAAAAAAAAAAUAGAUGAUGGUUUUCAUGCCAAAUAUUUUCACUACUACAAAUACAUUCACUGCCAAAGAAAAUGAUUAUCGUUUUUCACUUUUUUUUUUUGUGUACUUGCAUUGAUAUGAUAUAUGAUAUUUUUUAUUAACUACAUAUACAAUUGUUUUUUUUUAGGGAAACUAAAUAUACAAUUAUUAAAAAUAGAGAAUGCUUAUCUUUUGUUAUAUUAUGCUCAGACUACCUCCGUCUCUAAUUAUAAGACACUUUUGAAAAAAUAAUUUGUCCCUUUUUAUAAGACCCUUUUGGUAUUUUCAAGUACAUUAAUUAUUUCUUUACCAAAAUACCCUUAUUUAUUUUGCAUUUUUUUCUUCAAUCAACAAUAAAUAUUAUAUUGAAAAUAUAAAUUAACUCUCUCUUAAGGAUAAAAUUGUAAAAACAAUAGUAAUUAUAUACAAAUUUCAAAUUUAAUACUACAACCAACUUUCUUAAUCUCCGCAAUUUUGACAAAAGACUCCUAUAUUUAAGUAGAUAGUAUAAUAUAAAACAUUGGAAUCCUCUAAUUACUUUGGUUACUCACAAUAACCUCUAGAAUAAUUAAACCUUAAACUUUGUAAAAAUAAAAAAAAGUAAUGAUUCCCAUAUCAUACUUUGUCAUGAAGUUCUUAAAUGGGGUAAAAUUUUCAAGGUUAACUAACAUUAUUUUGUAUGAUAAAUAAAGGGAAUCCCAAAGAAGAAGAAGAAGACACAGUUGUACUAAAAAAUAAUCCCUGUAAUUCUGCUGCCAUCUGCCUAUUAACAGCAGGUAGAGGGGCCAAGCCUGCAUUUGUUUCAUCAAAUUUAUGAUUGAGUUAUGUUUUUCAGAUGAAUCACCAAGUCCGUACAUUUAUAUAAUUUCAUGCAACUAAAAUUAAUUUAUUAAAAAUAAUGCAGCUAAAAUACUUUGUACUUUUGAUAGUGUCACUAUCAGCUUCAUAUUUUAAAGAAAUUAUUAAUCGUUAGUCUUGAUAAAGUUACACCAUUAUAGAGUUUUUUGUAAUCUUAACUGGUGUUGUAGCAAUUGAAAUCAUCUAGGUAAGAUUAUUAUUAAAGUCUUAACUUGUGAUGUAGCAUUUGAAAUCAUCUAGGUAAGAUUACUAUUAAAAUCUUGAUAAUAUUUGUUUUUUUAUGUUGUUUAUAAACUACAUUUAAUCUUGAUUAUCAAACAAUGCAAGAAUUUGUUGUGUAUAGUUAACGACAUUGGGUGUUGUUUAUAAAUUACACUUAGUCUCGAUCCCUAAAUAAUGCGAGACUUUUGGUAUUUUGGAACAGUCUCUUUCAAAUUGAAGUUAUGAGAUAAAGGGCUUGAAAGUCCUCAAGUAUGACCUAGGUUUGACCUUUAUACGACGCACCAAUGUUCCGAUGUCAAGUCUACAAAAAUGCAUUUUUGAGAUACUUUUGAGUCGUCACAAUUUUAUCAUUCCUAAAAAAACGUCUCAUUAAAUUAAAAGAUGUGAGUGUUGAUUAUAAACUAUUAAUAACUUCAAUUUUCUAACCUAUUUCAAUCUUACGUUUUGAAAAUAGAACAGAUAAAUUUUCCUUUUUCCAAUGAAAGCUUUUUCUCACACUCAAUUACUAAUUAUAAUUGAAUGAUUCAACCAACCUCUCAACACAACUUUAGUUCAUAUGCUAAAAGUAGUUGAGAACACUGUAAACACAGAUGAAACAGAUCUGUAAACGUUUGCACUAUGCUGGAAAAUAAUAUUAAUACCUAAUUUUCAGUACAUAUAUUUAUUUUAUAUGUACUAGUAGAAUAUAACAAGAAAAACAUUUAUUUCACAUACACUUUAUUUUCUACUCUUAUAAUAGCUCAGAUAUCUAAAAAGUCCCACACACAAUAAACAUUACCCUUAACAACAAAACAUCAUUAAAUGAGGACCCUCAACUAUCUCUAGUCUCAAUCUGUUUCCUGUUUUAACCAUUUAUGUCAAAACAUAGUUCAACUCACAUGUUACUUAAUUUCUUCAAAGUUUAUUGCACUUGUUUGAAUUUCCCGCUCUUUUUCAUUGAGGAUUAUUAUUACAAUACUUUCAACUUUAGUAUAUCAUGUGUGCAAUAUUAAUGCACUCAAAAUAUUAUAUAAAAUGUUGUCUAUGGGAGAUAAGGAUUCUGUGCAUUUGGAAGUCUCUACUCUGGGUACCAGGUCUCGAACCAAGUUUCUCGAGUUUGAAGAGAGAUACUCUGAACCAAAUGACUUCUCGGGACACCGACGUGCAUAUGGAAGUCUAGCUACUACAUUAACGCAAUCAAUACAUUAGUCAUUGGUGGAUAACAUUAUAAAGUCGAUAUUUAAAGCUUGAUUAUUUACAUUUUAUAUACGAAAUAUCCAAGUUUUGUAAAUAGUCUAAUUAAUGUUCAAUUCUCAAUGUUGUAUGUCACUAUGAUUCAUUAAUUACUACACAGUUUUGGCUUGUAAAUAAUUCUUGAAUAAGAAUUUUGAGUCUUUUUUGUAAUAAAGAUAGCAAAACCAUCAAACUUACUAAGUAGAAUCGAUGUUUUCCAUUCUAUAGCAUGGAAAAUAUAUCAUAUAAAUAUUGAAGUUUUGUUCAUGGUCUGCCUGAAAACUUUGAUUCCAACUUGCUUCGACAUUGACGGGCAAGACAUGUUAUUGGCAUGUGUUUACUGGACGAAGACGGAGCUUUUGUGUUAGCCAAAACUCUUUGCUUUACUCCUUUGUGUCUUGUGGAUGUCGGUGAAGCGUUAGGAUUAUUUCAUGUUUUAGAAUGACUUAGUGACAUGCAGUUUGAUAAAGUGGACUUCGUGCACAACUCAAAACGAUGACAUGCACCUUCAAUAGUAGGUGUGUAGAUGAUACAGGGUUUGGCAAUAUCUCAAGGAAUAUCUUUGCUUCUCAUUUUACAAACGUUCAGGUGAAGUUUAAUAAUCGACAACCAAAUACAAUUGUUCAUACUCUUGCAUAGACAACCACAUUAUCAGCUACUCCCACCAUUUAUUUUGAUAUACCCUCUUCUAUUGAUACUCUUAUAUUCUAAAGAAAUUUUAUAAACAUCUUUCUUUAUAAAAAUAAAGGAAGAGAUAAAAGUGCGAAUAUACCAAACUUUAACAGCCCUGGUGGAAUCUUUACAUGUAACUCUAGCUUUUGGAUCGAAGUAGUUUAACAUUAGAUCCUUGGAACAUACAUUGUAAGUUGAGUUCCACAAAAAGUAAAAAGUGAUUUAGGGUUUCAUUUUCAACCCUCUUUUUAUUGUGCAGAGAGAAAAUGAAAAAGGUUAUACGUUAUUGUCCAUGUCACCAUGCAAAAUUACCUUUUGAUUUUUUUUAUGUAAGAGUUAAAUAACUUUAAAUCUUUCAUAAUUUAUUUUCUAGCGUCUAAUUUCUUUAUACUUGUCCUUCAAUUAUUUUUUAUCCACAUUUUUGUCUUUCUUUUUGAAGUAAACUCAUGAUUAUCCUUCUAAUUUAUGAUUGAUAUUUUGUAGUCAUGUAUAAAAAAAUUAUUAAAAUGUUGGGUUGGUGUAUUAUCAAUAAAUUUUUCGGUUUCAAACAAACAAAAUUUUAGAAUUUUUUUAAUAAAAAACUGUUUCUUUUUAAGAAAAACAACUCGAUAUCUGACUCAAAGGCCGACUAAUCCGAGCGGUUAGUUGACCUAAACAUUUAUAUUUAAUUUAUCUUUUGUUAAACAGGUCACUCUCUUUAAGACGUUUUGCAGCACUACUCGAGUUUGUGCAAGAUAGACUAACAACCGCGCCACCUUCAGGAUAAAAUAGCUCAGUUCACUUGUUCAAUUACGUAUUGCACCGUAAGUAAUCGUUCGAAAAAUAACAUCCUCAAUAUGGUUUAAUCGUUCGAUUAAACCGUGUUUUUUCGGUGUGAAGAAUGAGUGAGGAGAACUCAUCCUUAUAUAUAUAUUCGUAAGCGCUCACCCGUUUGUAAAACUGGGUACCCCAAGGACACACCCUUAGAGGUCACUCUCCACUUAUAUAAACACUACUAGUAAGUGUGUCCUAACCAAUGUGAGACAUUUUUCAAUUCAUACCAACACUAGUUCUUUCCUAAGGGACAUGUGUUUAUUCUUUCCAACUUCCACUCAAAUCCAACUAGUGUUCCAGCAGAAUGUUUAAUCACAACGCGUUCUUCUUAUAAGUACGAAUAGUGGGGAAUAUGAUUGUCUUGAGAGGAUAAGACAAUCAUAUCCCUGACUCUAUGAUUGUCUUGAGUGGGGAAUAUAAUUGAGCCAUUCUUAAUUAAUCUCUGACUCUAUUAAUAUUUUAAAUUGGUCUUAGUAUUUGUCAAAUGAUGAAUAACCUAAUUAAAAAACUUUUGAUAAAGACAGAAACUAGUUUGAAAUAUGAAUAGAAUCGGUGACUAAUUUGAUAGCUGCUUACAAAAAUAAAGAUCAAUUUGAUGGUUAGCUCCUCCUAGUGAACUAAAUCUAGCCACAAAUAAAAAAAUGUUUAUACUAUACUAGACUAAACUACAGAAGAAGUUCAUUAAAAUAAAAAAUACUUAUCAUAUACUAUACUAUAAUAAUAUACCAAUAUAAUAUGGACUGAAGUUGAAUUGAAUAAUGAGAGAAGAAGUAAGGAGUAAAGUCGGGACUGGAUUCCUCUGCUGAUAUUGUCUUUUAAUAACCAAUCAAUUUUGCAGUCCAAGACAUGGGGCAAUUGUGCAGAGAGGGUCAAAUUCUUCAUGUGUGGCCCUAUAAUCAAAGGGUCCAAACUCCAUUACCCCAUGUCUUGUGGGGCCCACACCACAAUGUCACGUGAUACAACAACCCUAAUAUUGUUUUGAAAUAACAUGAUUCUUUGAGUUCAUACAAUUUAGUGCAUCUUUGUUUGACAUUGAUUUUGACUUAAUGACAAUGUGUCACUGUGAUGUUGGUGAAAAUUUUGUUUCAUCAAUACAAUUGUGACACCACAUUUUCAUCUAACUCAACCUCAAACCAUAUCUGAAAUAGAGUUUGUUGUUCGUUUGCUUUCUAUUCAAGUAUAAAUAAUGAUGCCUUAAAAAAACGAAAGAUUGUUUAGUGAAAAAUUCACGAUAGUCUAUUUGCUAUAUACCAUUCCUAAGUUAUACCCAUAUCCUCCCUUGAAUUCUGUUCAAGAAGAAAUUUAAUUGGCUAACACCUUUUUUUGAUCGGUUUGAGAUAAUAUUCCUCUGGAUGAUGUAUAGUAAUGCUCAAAGAAAAAUUUAAAUCAACGGAUAUAAAUGUAUUUUGUUUAUAACUUGGGCUAAGUGCAUCAACUUUUGUUGAUAAAUUUUUUCUUAUAUAUAAAAUGGAGUAAUACACAAAACUUAUAGGUAACCAAUAAAAAUACCAAUUAAACUAACUUAACUAACCAAGUGACUAGUGUGACUAACUUUUCUAUCUAAUACACGUCUCGAUUGUCUAGCAAUCCUUACAAUAACCAAUUAAUUCAUUUACGAUUUUAAAUUUGAGACAUGAAUUUUGAUUUCUAUAAAUUUGAAAACUAAAUUGUACCCAUAAUUUGAAAUAUCAAAAUAGUUUCAUGCACCAAUGUGUCUAAUAUGUUCCCUUGAAUCUCCAUCACCAAUCCUUCUCUUUCUUCUUCAUCUUCAACCUUGAUCAAUUUCUCCAUGUCUUCUCCUUCAAUCAAAUUAUCAAUGUCAUCCAAAACUUCACACUUCGCACACGGAAACUCUACAACUCUUUUCAACACUCUCUCUGUUAGCUCUGUAAUUGUCCACUGGUCGCAAAACCCAUCCAAAAAAUAUAACCUUUUUUCGCCACCAUUUGGCUUCAAAAUCUCGAUUAAAACCUCAUCGACCAAAUCAAACAACAAUUUUCGAUUCCAACGGUGACAAAGUUGGUUUUUUAUGAUAAUAUUAUCAUUAGUACUUUGUUCAAGGUGGUGGAAGAUUGAUGGGUCAAGUAGGUGUGUUGAAGAGAACCAUUUGUUAAAAGACACAUUUUUUGUUGUUGUGAUUGUGCCAUGUUUGUUUAAGAUUUCAGUGAUGUACUGAAAUUCUGGUUGGUUAGUUUCUAGGGUUGUGGCACCGUUAAAUUUGUCUUCUAUUACUUUGGUGCUUGGUUCUUGAUUGGAGAGUGUGACCGUUCCUUCUUGUUUGUACCUUUGUCUCGAACAACUAGAUAACUGUGGGCAGAGUUUGGAGUCUUGAGUUUCAGAUACCUGUGACCGUUUUUGUUUUUAAUGUUUUUUUUGGUAAGCAACAUGAAAAUACAAAUGGUUAGAAAAAGCAAAGAAGAUUUUAACUUUUAUUUUAAUGAACCUGAAAAAAGAUUAACUGUUUUUUUUAUUACUAAUUUACUAUGAUGGUGAAAUACAAUGUUGUACAUGGAAGGGAAAAUGUGCUAUGCCUUAACAAGGUGGGUACCUGAUUCUUUUUAUUACUAAUGACAUAGUAAAAUAUUUCCCCAUUUUCAUUUUUCUUCUUAAAUAAGAUUGUUAAAUGUUUUUUUUUUAAAACUCGAUAUCUGAUGCAGGGGUUGAUUAAUCAUAUUAUUAAAUGUUUCGAAUAGUAAAAUGCUUGUUUUUUAUGGAAGAAUUGUUAAAUGUUAAGGAUGGUGUGAAUGCUUGUUUUUUCAAUAUCAUAGUAAAAUGUGUAUUUUAAUUAUUUUUCUAAAAUACACAAUAGAAAAAUAAAUUACAUAUGAAGAUGAGGGUAUUAGAGUAAUGUGACUUUCAUAAAAAAUAAAUAUAUUUGAUGAACACAAAAUAUAUAAAAUAAACAUAUGGGAAAUUAGUACCUGUUUGAGAGGAAUUUUGUUAGCCAGAUAAGAAGACUCUGUCCCAAUAGAGAGGACAUUUGAAAUUCUCUUGCUUUUUGUAUUACUUCUGAUGUCGUUUGCUCUAGAAUUUGAUGUUGAACUAAUGUUUAUAUCUGAUGUCUUUGGAAGCCUUUUGAAUCUUGAACUAAACUUUUCAUUGGCAUCUUUCUUACAUUUUGACACUAAUUUCUUGUCACUUGAUUCUUGCUCUUCUUUCAAUGUAUAAGCCUUUGGUUUUGUAUUUUGAUCUGUUGUUGUGUUUGGCUUGUGUUUGUUUUCAAUGAAUCUAAUCCUUGGUGAACAUGAUGAUAUAGGAUUUGAAUCUUUCAAUGAUGUUGUUUUAGGACAUCUCUUGAUUCUUAAUUGUCCUAAAACUUCUUCUCUUGUUAGUAAUUGAUCUUUUCUUGGUAAAUAAUCUGGUUCGUUGGAGUUUUGUUGAAUACCGAUUACCUAAAAGCAAAAACAAUUUAAAAUUAAAUUCACUUCAAAAUAAUGAAAUAUACUAUGUUGCAUAGGUACGGAUACAGUAUCCGGUACGAUACCUGGUACGAUACGAAUACUGGUACGAGAAUACGACAAUUUUUAAAAAUCAAGGUUGCAGUACGUCAAUAAAAUCAUGAGUUUUCUUGUAUAAGAUAAUAGGAGAAAACUAAAUUCUUCAAUUCACAGCAAAAUCAUCAUGAUAAAAGUUUAAAAAAUAAAAAAUUAGAGUUAGUUACCCAGAAAAAAAAAAACCUCAUACACUUAUAAUACUAUGUCAUCAAAUCAAUAUAUAAGAGAAAAUCACAAUUUUCAUCCACAAUAGAAUACUGAGGAAAAAUAGGGUAUCACGAGUACCGUACAUCGGUACAUGUACUUGGUACGCGUGAAUAUCCAGUACAGAUACUUCACCUAAAUACUCAUGCUUCAGAGAUGAAAUAUAAAAAAUAAUAAAAAUUAUAUGACAUUAAAUGAUUAGAUAUCAUAAUAUAUCUAACAAAAUUUAAGGCAUGAAAGUGCUUGCCUGAUUGCUUUUGAGAGUGUUGGUAAUGUCUUGACCAACUUUUCUACUCACAACACUUUCCUUAACUUGUUUCACAAUUUGCUUAGCAUAGUGAUUUGAACUUUUGUAACUAUUCUCAUCAAUUUUCCUCUUUGAAAAUGAAAAUCUAGGUAGCUCAAAAUCCUCACCACCAAUAUUAUUCUCUUUGUUGAUUUGAAGAGAGAGUCUAUGAUGAUCAAAUUCUGUUUUCCUAGAUGAGGACAUUCUUGUAAUUUCACUACUAUCAAUGCUAUUUCUUGCUUUGGUUUGAAAUUGUUGUUGCUUUGUUCUAACUUGGUGAAGAUGUUGAAUAAUGUUGUUCUUCCCUUGUGAAUUUGGUGUUGAAAGAGGUGAAGAAAAAGAGGGUGAGUUUGGAUUUGGAAGAAGAUCCAAACCCAUUAAUCUUGCAACCAAAGUUGGUGUUUUUGUUCCUGGUGAAGUGCUAAUUUCUGAGGACAAAUCAGUCAAAUUUCCACCAUUGCUCCUUUUUGUUUUGAUUUGUAUAUUCUUCUAGAUUUUUUUUAAAAAAUAAAUAAUUAGUAUGUGGGUCAAAAUCAAAAUCAUUACUUUAUAGUACACCAUCAUUACUCACUUUACAAAAUAAACAAACUGAACUAGGAUUUGAAAAAAAGAAACUCAAAAUACUGACUUUUGAUUUUGUCUCCUCAAAAGUUAGUAGAAAAUAUAAGGAAAAAAAUUAGCAUAGUACCAUAUAUAUAUAUAUAUAUAUAUAUAUAUAUAUAUAUAUAUAUAUAUAUAUAUAUUUGCAAAGUUUUGGAUUUUUUUUUUCAUUUGCACUUCAAAUAAUAUACAUAGUACAAUAUACAUUCAAUAUUUUCUGCACCAUUUUCUUUGACAAUUUUUUAAAUAAAAUCUAACAUUUACAGAAAUUUUUAAAAUGUCAUUACACUAAUUUUCAAUAAUUCUAUUUAUAAAAAAUAUUGUUAUUACAAAAAAAAAAAAUUCUAAAAUUAUAUUUUUCUUAACUUCACCUUAUCUUUAUCACAAUUAUUAUCCAUUACCUUUUAAAAAUAAAAACUAAACAUUUUCAAGAAAGUUAACUGAGUCUAUUUAAUACAACACAUAAACUUCUUUAUACAUAUCAUACAUUAUUUUUUAUUUUUUUUUGUACAAUAUCAUAAAAUAUUUACUAUAUGUACUUUAUUUUUUGACAAAAAUACUUUAUGUACUAUAAAGUGAACAUUUUAAAGAACUUGAAUCCAAAAAUACAUAGCUGAAAAAAGAGUGGCAAGAAAUUAAUAAACUUACUGGAAUUUUUAAAUUUUCUUCUUUUGAAAGAGAAGCUGAAACUAUGCUAUCCUCAGAUUUCAAGCUAUUCCUAGGAGCUUCAGCACCUGAAAUUGUACAACAACAUUAAAAAAAGCAGGGAGAAAAAGACAAAGAAAGAAACAUAAAAGGUAGUUAAACAAUAAAACUUGUUUGAAAAAAAUUUAACCUUAAAACAUUGUAAAAAAAAUAAAAUUAAACUUCAUUACUAUACCUUUUGACACACUAGUAGUAGUAGUGUGUUCUUUUGAGAGCCUCUCUCCCGAGAAGUCACUUGGUUGAGAGUUUCUCUUUUCAACCUGAAGAAAGUUGGUUCGAGACCCAGCACCGAGAGUGUGUUCUUUAGAGAUGCAAGAAGAAGAUGUGAUUUCUUGUUGAUGAUUUAUUGUGUUAGGAAAGUGAAAAGGAUGAAAAUCAAAGAAUUGAAAAAAAGCACACAUGCAACCACUAGGUGGUGAUGGUGUAGUUUCAUUUCCUUCAACUAUAACACUUCUUUUGGAAGAUUUUCUAACUCCAUACCAUUCCUUACCCAUAAUUGGUAACUUCUUGAGGGUUAGUUAUUUUGUUGAGUUUGAAAAUAAGGUUGGAAGAUUAAAUGGAAAAAUGGGUUGUCAAAUAAGUGAAGAAAUUUGAAUGAAAUGACACAAUAAGAAUUAGCCUUAGAGAGAGAGAGAGAGAGGGUGGAGAGAGAGAAGUUCUUAGUAUAUGUAAAUGGAGAAGAGAGAAAAGAGGAUCCUUGAAGCAUGAAAGGGUCACAGUGUAAGGAAUUAAGUACACAAACACUGAGAACACAUAAAAAUUGGGAAUAUAAAAUAAAAUGCAGACAAAGAUAUGAAUUUUUUAUCAGUAUACUUUUCUAAUGAUGUAAUAAAAUAUGAAGUAAUGAUAUUUAUAAAAAAAUUCAAAUACACGUACACUUGGCAAAAGUUGUACUAAGAGAAUUAGAUAGUGACUGUGUAUAUUAAACAACACAAAUCUUAUUGGCAAAAGUUGUAGAUUAUAUCACAAUUUCGAAAUCUUAGGGUAUGGACUUUUUAGUGUUAGCAAAGUUAAAAAAUAUAAAAAUUCAAAUGUUCUUUUAACUUUUUUUUUUUUUUUUCCGUUGACGAAACUCAUAUCAUUAACGGUUGAGAAGUAAAUAAAUUGUUAUUCAAACAUGCACCCAACAUAUCAAAUGUCUAUAAAACAUUUACCAUUGGAGUUAUAGUUAUGAGAUGAAUAUUUUAGAGACAUUAUUAAUAUGCAUUAGAUGUGGAUUAAGUACAUGAAUAUUAUUUUUUAACAAAAUUUUUAAUAUUUUUUCAAUAGAUAAUUGUUACUAAUAUAUUAGGGUUAUGCUAACAAGAACACGUGUUAAAGGAUUCAAAAGAGAAAAUAAUUUAUAAAUUUUAAGAAAAUAUAUAUUUUUCCAUCAAUAUUUAAUCAAACGUACAUCCCCAAAGACAUUUGUUAGCAUUUUUCAUAUUAGUUAUUAUCUUAACGUGUAUCUUUCCAUCAAGAUUUGAACUUCAUUGUUUCAUAAAAUGAGCUUUGAAGUUCAACUCAUUCAACUCUUUUAUAUAUAGUGAGUUUUCUCAUAUACAGGCAAACCAGGAUCUAACAUUUUCUUUGUUGGAUGGUGUGAAUAAUUGAAACACUAAUUUUAUUUUAUUGGCAUCUCACCUUGUGUUGAUCGAGUAUACAUUUCGGUCAAAGUGACGAACAUGCGAACUUGAAAUCAUCAACUCAAUUUAUAUCUAAGGUUAUAUGAUUGUUGAAUAAUUACUGGAGUUUUCUAUUUAUUCAAACCUUAAUUAUAGUUUGAUAGUCUAAAUAUUUGAUAUAUGAGUAUGAGCAGUUAAAACAUAUGUGAUUUGUCGAAACAUUGUAUUGGGGUGAUUGCAUUUUUCUUUUUCAAGCUGGGACCAAGGGAAAAAUAUCAACUUUUGUAAGUGUUUCUUGGUUAAUUUUUUUCUUUCUUUUUUCUUCCUCACUAGACUAGCAUUAGACAAUGAAGAAACUAAAAUUCUUAUUAUGCAACCUACGUUCUCAAAUUAACGAAGAAUGGCAAUGUCGCGUAAUUUGAACAUCUCUCCUUUAGAGAUUUUUUUUUUAAAAAGUACGUAAUUUAGCACGGGUUUGUAACUAAUUGAUCUUAAAAAUAAUAUGAUCAUAAAAAAGGGAGAAAUUUAAUUUCAUUGGUUUAACUGAAAAAAUGUUGAAAUUGUUAGGCCGGAUACUAUGAUCGGGGUUUUAACCCCGACACCUCCACUUGUGUGUGUGUGAGUUUAUAAUGACUUUGUCAUUUCGUCUAUCUAUUAAAAAAAAAAUUAUGAUAGUAAUGAUAUAGUAAAAUAAUGUAAGGGGACAAAGGUGUUAUUGUUUCUCAAAAUGGUAUAAUAUUUUUUCUCAAACUGUUUAACUUUAUAGCACUCACUUCCAAGCUCUAACCAGACCAAUUCCAGAAGGGGCCAACGCUGCCCUGAUAUUGGGAAGUGAAAUUGGUUUAAGGAAUUAAGAAUUGGGGGAGGUAUGACGAUAUGACCACGAACCAACGAUUCUUUCUCUCUCAUCGUGUCUAAUCUUCAUUUGUUGGUGAAGCAUAUAAUAUACCCUUGCAUCACAUGAUUUUAAUUUUUUCAAUAGAUAAUUGUUAAUAUAUAGAUGCUUGGAGUAUGCUCCUCUCAAGAUCUCAAGUUCGAUUCUUCAAUACCAAUUUCAUUGGGCAGGUUCAUACAAAGUUUUGUUCUGGCUUUAAACAGAGCCCCUGCAAGUGAGCGGUGGGAUUGGUCCACUCGAAUUAAUUGGUCCUUAGAUUAAAUUCUGAAUAUCAAUAUAUAUAUAUAUAUAUAUAUAUAUAUAUAUAUGACAUGAGAAUGAUUUUUAUAUAUGAGAAUGAUGAGAAUAAAUUGUAGCCAUUAGAUUAAAAGAUAGGGGCUGGGAUUAAAACAACUUAAUUGAGUUGUCAAUUAUGUGAUUAUUCUCUCACUUCGAUACAUCAUUCACAUUCAACGGUUCAAGUAUGUGCCUUAACCCUUCUUUUUCAUUCAAAAGUUUGUGUGUCUUCUUCCCCUCCCGAUUAACAAUCAUUUCCGGUAACCCUGACUCCAGCGACCACAGCCCUCUCCGGCGCAAAACUCACCGUCUUCGUGUCUUCUCCAUAGCUCUUUCCCUCUCAGAAGUCUUCUCUCUUCAACCAUUCACAUUUAUGUUUACGUGGACAUUUAAAGAUCAAAAUGAAAUAUAUAUUAACUUAUCCAAACAAAUCUUUUUACAGCUCAAAUAGUGUCAGCAAAGACUACAAGUAUCAUUACAAUGUUUCAUACAAAAUCAAAAACACAAAAAAAAAAAAAAAAAAAACAGCCAAGAAACAAAUGUCAAACAUUGAAGAGGGUUAAACCAUCAGUUAUGGUAUUCAUAAACGAAAGUAGCGAGCAUAUCUCGCUUUCAACCAUCAAUAAUAUUGAAGCUUCAUUUUUUUCACAUAAAGUAUGCUUAUUUUCCUCCGUUUGUUGAAACAUGUGUCAAAUUUUUUUCUUCAAAUAACCGAGAAAGAAGAGAGCCAAAUAAUCUUCAAACCCAAUAGAGCCUGCUUAGAAAAACCACACUAAACAGCAAAAAUGUUCAAGAUGUACAUAAGUGUCGUCGUGAUUCACUGUAACAACGCCUAACCAAUUUCAAAAUGAAGAUAUUUUGUCUUUUGGUUUUGUCUUUCUAGUUUUGUUUUGAUUGAUGUUUUAAGUAGUUUUUGUACUUCACUCGCUCAUUCUCGAUCAUUCACUUCAUACAAAUCUUUUUUUGUAAGUUGGUGAAAGGAUAAAAACAAGUUGACAUUAUUCAUUUUCUAAAAAUUCUUUGUCUGACACUUUGAUUCAAAUUUAUGUCUCUCACUGAGUCGUUUGAUUCGAUUCAGUGCUUGCCUUGGGAAAUCAUGUUUUGAAUCAUGAUUUGAAUCAUUACUCUCUCCUAGUCACUUUGAUUCGAUUCAUUCCACUCUUAUGUAGUUGUGAUUCGAUUCAAAUUAUGGUCAUUCGAAUCAAUCUUUAUCUGAAAAACUCAUAUUCAAAUCAUUGUUCUUGUUUAUCGACUUGACCUUUAUAACAACUCAGAAUUCAUAAAAUACAAUAUUGAUUCUAAUCAAGCUUUUUUCUUAUUUGAAUCAAACACACUUUUUUAUUUUUAUUUUUAGCCCAACUUGUUCUUAUCUCACUUUCCUAUAUAUAGUUUUCUACACUUAUUAUUUAACUGAUUAAAUCAAACUGCAAAAACACUCUAAAGUUUCUUCUCUCUCUUUUUCCACAUACCUCUUUAGAUUAAACACUUUUUUUAAGAACACUUGUAGGAUUUUAGAUCUAGAUUGUUAGGGUGCUAUAGGAUAAUUGUAAGUUUGGUUUCAUUCAAGGAUCGUUGUGUAGCAUCAAUGAUCUAGAGGAAAGGGAGGUACUUUUCACUUCCAUAGGUAAUAGUGUGGGGUUGUUUUUUAAACAAUCAAGGUUGAAGGGGAUCAAAGUGAGGCUAUAGGAAAAAAGAUUUCUUAUGCAAGAAGUGAAAGUUGUUUCUAUCUUUUGACUAUUUUUGAUUAAGUAGCUUUUUUUUUAGUAAUGUCAUUAGUCUUAGUAAAGCACCCUUUCAGUUACAUCACAUACUCUACACAAGUUUAUUGUUAGAAAGGUUGUGAUGUUUGGAAUCAAAUUUUGUGUUCAAUGUCUCCAAAGUCUAUUUUAAGUUAUUUGAUUCGAUUUAUUAAUUUAAUUCAAGCUAUUGGGUGUUCGGCUUAUGAACAAUUGUUCAAAAACAUUUUUUUUAAUGUUUUGAUUCGAUUCAUGCAUAUGUUGAAUCGAUUCAUUCAAGUUCUCAGGGUGUUUGACUCAUGGAAAUUAAUUUUGAAUCAAUUCAAAAUUAUUUGUUUCAUAUCAAUCUUCAUCCGAAUCGAUUCAAAGGUUGUCUGAUUCCCAUCAAUCUUCAUGACAUCUAGGAUUUCAUAUUUUACACUAUUGCAUCGACUCAAGACUCUUCUGAUUCGAUUCAAACCCAUUUUUUCAGUAUUAUUUUGGGUCAAACUUACUCCUAUCUCACUUACCUAUAUAUACUUCCAUCCAUUUAUUCUCUCACUUAGUGAAACAAUUUGCAAAUAGGCUCUAAAAUCUUCAAACACACACACACACUCUCUCUCUCUCUCUCUCUCUCUCUCUCUCUCUCUCUACAUCUUCGUCAAAUUAAAGAAUUUUUCUAAGAUCUUUGUAUAAUGUAAGGUCUAGGUUGUUAGGGUGUUAUAGGACUUGUAAGAUUCGUUUCUCUCAAGGCUAUUGGUGGUGGAUAAAAGACUUGAAGAAAAGAAGGCACUUUCACCUCCAAAGGGUUUUGGGGGUUAUUUCUCAUCAGUGCAAGGGUCAAAGUGAUCAAAGCUUCGGACAUAGGAAAGACGAAUUCUCAGAGAUAAAGUUAUGAGAAUUGCAUGGACGGUUGAGUAUCAAAGAUCUUAUGCGUGUCCAAUUUCAUGAGGUCUUGAAGAUUGGAUCUUGUGUGAUUCCUUAGCAUAUAAGAUUAGGGAAUCGAAGGAAUCUUUGUAAUCAUACACUUGUAAACAUUUUUUAUCAGAGUGGAAGACCGUGAUAGAGACAUUUUAUAUCAAGAUGAGAGGAUGUACCCCUAGUGAGGACGAAAAUGGCAAACCUCUAUAAAUCUAGGUGUUAUUCUCUUCACAAUCCUUUUGAUUUCAGCUUAUAAUUAUGUAUAUGAAUUCAUUGUAUGAAGCAAUCAUUAUUUGAUUGUGAGUUCACUAUUUUCCAAAACCUAAUCUCAAUUUCAUCAAUUGAGAUAUCAAUUCAAUUUUCUCACAAUCAAAGUUGAAAGUUAACUUCAAACAAUUGCUUCAUAUACCUUGUGUUCAUAGUUGUUAGUGUGAUUUAUUGAUAAUAGUUUUGGUUUGAGAUAGUUUAGUUUUGCAAUUUGAAUGUGUAUAUUGAUAUUUAAAUCUUUCCUUUCAUUGCCUUACUUUUAUCAUCAUUACCAAACACGAUCCAAUAGUGAUAAUCGAUUUUAACUCACGGAUUUGUAAAAUCUUUUGAAAACGAAAAACGUUACUCACCCAUCUCUAGUGCACUUCCUGUAUCGUAAUAUAGACUAAAAAGUGGCAUCAAGAGCCUGGUUCUCUUCACUAACUGUUAAUCAUCAGAAGAGUCGAUAUGACGAGCAAAGAGUCUAAAAUGGAGCACAAUGUAGCUCCUAUUUUUUACCGUAAAAAUUAAGUAUGACUAUUGGAAAGAAUGCUUGAUUAUUUACAUUCAAUCGGUUAUCAUGGAUGUUUGGGAUUCCCUUGUCAAUGAGUGGUUUGAACAGCAAGCUGAUUGGACAAAUGAUCACAAGAAAAAGGUUCAAUACAAUUUGAAAGUAAGAAACAUACUCAUUUGUGCCCUCAGAGUAAAUAGUACCAUUCAGUUUCGCAUUGUAAGACCUCUAAAGCAAUAUGGGACGCCUUGGAAAGCCUCCUUGAGGGUACCGAGGACGUUAAGAAAUCAAAAAUCAAUACCCACAUCCAACAAUAUGAGCUAUUUCACGUAGAUAAUUUCAAAACUAUCUCGUUCAUGCAAAUGAGGUUCACUUGCAUUGUUAACAAAAUAAAAAACUUAGGAAAAACCAUCCCAAACUAAGAUUGUACUAACAAGGUGUUGAGAUGCAUGACUGGAGAAUAGCAGCCCAAGCUCACUGCCAUCAAAGAAUCUCAGAACCUCAACACUCUUGAAAUCACUGAUGUCUUUGAUAAACUCAACGAGCAUGAGCACAAGAUCCUCAGGUUGAAAGUUAAUAAGGAAGAUAUCAAUAAAAAGAAAAUAAGUCCAUCCCGAAAGCUUCGUCUUCAAAGGAUAAACGCUUGGUGGAAGAGGAUAAUGAUAUCGAUGAAUACCUUAUCGAGGAUGAGAAGAUGGAAAUAUUUGUGCAUCAGUACCAUAUAUACAUUGAAAAAAAAAUAGACUGAAGCAUAGUGACAAAAAUCUCAUAAACUUUAGGAUAGAAAUUCUCGGAGUAUCUAAAUUCAAGAAGGAAGAAAAUAUGCCAAAUUGUUAUGGAUGUGGAAAAUUGGAUCACUUGAAAAGUGAAUGUCCAAAAUUGACCAAAGCGUGUAGAAAGUCCAACUUUAAUUUCAAUAGAAAGAGAAAAGAAAGGAGAGCAUAUACUGCAUAGGAUGACGGUGAUAACUCAUCCACUCUAAGUGAUCUGGACAAUAGUGAUAUUGACGACCUGUCUCAUGGGACAAAAGCAUCAUGAAGUAAUUCAUUCCGACUCCGACUCCGAUUAUAAUCCUUCUUAUAGUGAAUUACAAAAUUAUCUUGAAGAAAUGCAUGGUGAUGCAGUGAAGGCGUUUAAGAAAAUAAGUGCCCAAAAUAAGGUAAUUUUUAAAUUGGAAGCGGAACUCUUAAAACUCUGAAAUUCUUUUGAAUCUUUAAAAGAUAAUCAUGCAUCUUGAGUAAAUGAGCAUAUUGUAAUGCCCUCCAUUGACCCACCUAAAUAUGAUUCAAAUUGGAUGGAUUUUUUCUAAGUGUGAAGUUUGUCCUAGUCUACACGUAGAGAUUAAAUCUCGAACAUGUAUCUAGAACAAGCCUCCAAAGCUCCCACAUUUUUUGCUAUAAAUCUAAAAUGUGAAAGGGCUCAUUUUAAAAGACCUUAUAAAAAGUAAUCUUAUGUUAAAAACAACAAAAUUAAAGCAAAUUCCACGGACCUAACAUUAGGUGUAACUAUUGUGGAAGAAGUUGUUAUACCACACAUCAUUGCCACAUUAGGAAGGUUGAAGUUCCAAGAAUUCUUAGUUGCGCAAAAAAUCCCAUGGGCCUAACAUUUGUUGAGGACUUAAAGGCUCCAAAGUGGUUGACGUCAAAGGAUAUUUCCAUUGCUUUCAUAAUUUAGUUAUGGAGAUUAUGGAGUAAUCCGACAUCUGUAGGAAUAUUAUUCCUAGAGUAAACUAUUGUUUAUAUAAUCCAUAGGUUUUAAUUAAUAGGUACUUUGAAUUAAUCUAACAUAGAGGGAAGAUGGGAUUCAAAGAUUCCAUAAUCACUGUUACACAUUUAAAUCACACAAACCUAAUCUCGCAUUGGGCAGGGCGCUUAAACCCUGCAAACCUUUUUUACAUCUCUUUCUAAUAAGUUUUGCUAAUUACUGAGUUGACUGAUAAUUCAUGUGCAGACGAUAAAUUUACUACUUUAUUACUUGUUACAAUUUGGUGCACUUGUCAAUUUUGUCCAUCAGGGAGAAACUAGGGGGUAUUAAGAAUCCUAAAAUGUGAUCGUUAAUCAAUAUUCAUGUUCCCAUCCUUUCUCUAAUAUAUUUUUUAAUGUUUUUAAAUGGUGAGAUACACACGUGACAUUAUGGUUUAUUUUUAAUUCAAAAACUACCUAUGUGGCAUCCAACUCACAUAAGUGAGGAGCCAUAUAGGCAUUGUCUAGGUAAAAAUUAGACACUUGCAAAAUGAGGUAAAGUUAGGGGCUGGACUUUUUUUAAUAGGGGCAAAAAAAUAUUGGUCUAUAUGUUAAGCUAGAAUACGCGCUAGAAGGGGGUGAAUAACAUUUUUUUUUUUUUUUUAAAAACCGAGUUUAGCGAAAGCGUAUUUGAAAAAGAGGUUGACUAAUUGGAUUCGUGCUUGAUAUCAAUAACAAAAUUAAAGCAAUGAAUAAUACAAUAAUAUUUACUAUUGAAUUGAGAGAUUCAAUUGCUAAAUCUUAAUACAAUCAACUAUCAAUAAUUCUUAACACAAUAUACAAAACUAGACAAUUCUCAAACCAAACCUAAAAGCAAUAAAACAAACUAUUACUAAUGAACACAAGGUAUAUGAACUUGAUGAAUUGAAAACUUGAUUGAAUUCAAUUGUAACGAAUAUUGAGUUAGAAAUAAAACUUAUUUCAAUGAAUCAAGACUAGGUAUACAAUUAAAGCUUUGAUCACAUUCAAACCAAUAAGCAACAAUUAUCAAACAUUCAUAUACAAAAAAUAACACAAAGUAAAAGAAGAAAGGUUAGAGAAACAACAUCGAGAUUUAUAGUAGCUCCCCCUUUCCUCUUCGCUUCGGGGUACAUCUACUCUUCUUGAUAGAAAAGGUCUCUAUCAAAGACUUUCACUAAAAUUGAAAUUUGAUUACAAUGUUGUGAUUACAAGAACUCCUUCAAUUACCCUAAUUUUCAAUUCAUAUGCAACCACAACCCCCAAUUUUCAAGUAACCUUUGAAAUUGGUGAUUCUCCAAGUCUUCGAAUCCUCAAUCACCCAUGGAAUCCUUGAAGCUCUUUACCUCAGACUCUUCUUUGCUAUGUCCGGUGGUUGGAUCCCCUUGAACUUGAGAAGAUUAAAAAGAACCCCCACUACCCUUGGAGGUGGAAUGAAAUUAGUUAAUUCACUUUGGAACCUUGAUUCCCAACCAAGAUCCUUGAAAGCAAUAAACUUACAAUCCCUAUAAUACUCAAGAAAUCUAUGACUCAAACACCACAAUGAUUCUUAGAAAAAGUGUUUAAUCUGAAAAACAAGUGUAGAGAGAGGUUUGGAGAUUCUAGAGAGAAUAGAUGUAAAUGAUUUAGUAAUUUGGGAGUUGUGAGGAUAUGACUAUAUAAAUAUAUAGAAAUGAGUGAGAAGUGCAAAAUUUCGACCAAAAAAACCUAAAUGAAUUUAAUCAUUAGAAUCUGGAACUAUAAAAAGGAUUAAUCUGAAACUAUGAAGUUGAUACGAAUCAGACAAUAUAUAAUUCGAAUAAACCUUGCCCAAAUGAAGGUUGAUACAAUUCACGAACAUGUGAAUCGAAUCAACGCAUUGAAAAACAAGUCUAGAAAGAAUCAUUGAUACAAAUCACAUAAAUUUGAUUUGAUUCAUAAAUGAUACAAUUCAAAAAAUCAUCAAUUGUAUCAAAAUGCCUGAUACAAGCCUAGCAAUGGAAGAGAGGAGAAUUGAUACGAUUCAGAAAACUUUGAAUCGAAUCAUGUACAUAGAAAAAGUUUUCUGACUCAAAAGGAAGGUUUUUAUGCAAAUGAAAAACAUUGCUUGACAUUUAAGAAUCAUAUGACUUGACGACAAAGAGUGUUGGGUGCCUUAAAAAGUUUCUAGGCCAUAGCUACUAACUAUAUAGACAUCAUCUAGGAAAACUAUAGCUCACAUUCUAUAUUAAAACAUCAUCAAAACAAAACUAAUGUUAUAACCAACUUCAAAAAUCGCAACUUUUGAAAAGUUAGGAGAUCAAAAGUGCAUUUAAGCUAGUUGUUUAUUCCCCAAAAUGAACCUUGCUUAAUAUUAAAAUGUGAUUCAUAGAGAUAAAAGACAAGACAAAAAACAAAGGAGACUAGAAAAGUAUUGCUUCAGAUUGGAUUUCAGCCCAUACAAUGGCCCAAUUCAAGAGACCUGAUAACCCAUAAACCAUCUUAAAGGCGCUUAGGGAAGGUCACUUGUGAGCACUAUCCUAGAUUGAUCUGAUCGUUCAAUUGAUCUCUAAUUGACUCUCACGUUCUUUGUCGGGUUUCACGGAAGCUUCUACAGUAACUCGUCUAUAUAAGCAUGACAUCACCGCCAUACCCAAGUAUUUUACACGCUUUACUUCUCUCUCAAGUUCACAUAUUGACUUGUACGUCGGAGCACUUACUUGUUUUACAAGUUUCUCCCCACCGUCGAGGAAUAGUCUCCGUCGUAGUCUAGUGGAUAUGAGCAUCUAGAUCGCGUCAUCCUAUAUCCGAUCACCCGACAAAUAACGUAAAAAUAGUAAAGCCACAAAAGUCUAAACUAUCCUCUAUACAUUUAACAUUGUUACAUUGAUUUGUUUCAAUCAAUACUACAACAACGUGUCCUAGUUGAAUAUUAUUAGGUGAUGUUUUUGAGACACAUUUUAUGUUGUCAAUCGGGCUAGAGUUGAAUGACCCUUGUUCAGUUGUUUGAUAUUGAUGUUUGUAUGCAUUUGAUGUAUUGCUUUAUGAGGCUUACACUUUAUCAAUUUUGUUGAAAAGAAAAGAAGUUAGUGCAUGCCAUGUGAGAAACUAUAGAGCAAAAGAAUGACCAAAAAGUGUGUGCAGUUUCUCCGACAGUUGAAAGUAUGAAACCACUUGAAAAAUUACCUGUUUGUCAGGACCUAUAGGCCUAGAGCAACACUUACAUUAAUAACAUUGGUAAAUAAAUAAUCAUGCAAAAAGGGACCACAAGAACCCCCAUCCUUUCAAAUGUUUCUAUUCUCCAUGUUUGAUUGGACACCAUAUAGUUUCUCAUUCAUCUCACAUGGACAUGAAUAUGAGCAAUUAAAUGUGGUGUCGUUUUCGAAAGUGAAGUGUUGUAGAUGUGGUCCUGCUAUCUGGGUUAUAAAUUAUGGAGCUUGAAUGAAAAUUAUGAAAGCUCAUACUUAGCUCAAAAUUCAAUUGCAUAGCACGUGUUUAGAAAUCUCAUGUACUAGUAGUUAUUUCGUAAACACGGCACUCAAAUAAAUGGAAUUAUUUUAAAAGAAUUAUCUUCAAAUUUGUUAGAAGAACAACCAGUAACAGAAGAUUAAUAAGAAACGAAAAAUAAAAUGUACUAAACACACGAUAUUUGUUAACGUAGUUUGAUCAAUAUUGUCUACUUCUACGACUAUAUAACAACUAUAAUUAUGUUUGUAUUUUUUUUUUUUUUUAGGUAGGUUAGUGGCUAGAAUUCACCUUAUUUUAAGGUGAAUAAGUGGGGUGUCCGAGGUUCGAACUUCAGUCCCUGCAUAUAACAAUGCAUGUCUCUGCCAACUGAGUUAUGCUCACGGGGACAAACAAUAUAUAUAUAUAUUACUAAUAUUAUGAUUUAGUUUACAAAAUUACAACUUACCUUCUUUAAUGUCUUGUAUCUAUGAGGCAUACUUUAACAAAAUGCUAACAUGUGAUUAAAAAGAAUUUAAUUUUAGUCUUGCACUUCAAAUGUUUAGUUUUUUUCUCAAUUUUUUGUUUGUUUUAACAAUUUCCAUUCUUUGAAAAAGAUGGUUUUAUAUUCUAAAGCUCAACAAAAAAUAUCUAAACUCUAGUUAAUGAUUGUUUAAUACAAGUAUGCUUGUUGUAUUGGUUUUAUAUCACUAGGUUAUAAAUAACGUUUUUCAAUUAAAAUGAUAGAAAUAUUUUAUUUUCUAAAAGUUAAGUACACUCACCUCACCACUGAACAUUUUUUCUACCCUUAGUUUAACCAAAACAGGCAUGUAUAUAUACUUUAGAUUUUACUAAAUCCACUAAGAGCUUACAGAACAGGGACAUUCAAUCUGAUUACUGGUGUGUUAAUGCAUGCUCACAGCAAGAUAUGGGAGUAACAAAUAAAUAAUAUUCAUCAGAAAACUUUAUAAAAUGCUAAAAAGAUAGUGUUCUUUAUCUUAACUUUUCAAUUAAAAAAUUGUUGUGUAUUUUGAAACUAACAUCUUAUAAGAAACCCUAACUUAUACACACAUUUUCAUACAUAUAUCCGUUAUACAGACUAUAUAUAUAUAUAUAUAUAUAUAUAUAUAUAUAGUAGGAACAUUUAAUAAAUGAUAUGCUAUAUAGUUAUUAUUUUCCUUUUGAAUGUGCACAUGAGGUCAUCUUUCAAACAAGAUUCAAUAUUUUUGCACAAAACUUUGGCAGAUUCCUCUUACAUUAUUCCUGAACCUCUUACACAGUCCUCCAUAUUCUAUGUUAAAAUUAUAUUUCUAUGUUAUGUUAUUAUAUCUUAAAUUUGAAGUGGUUCAGCUUCGCGGGGUUCUUUGAAAGAUCUGAAAAUAUUAUAUUAUACUAUAAAGUAUCGGAAUUAAUCAUUUUUGAGUGGCUACCAUAUGAUUUCAGAUCAGGUAGAAUGUCUUCAUCAAAAAAAUAAAGAGAUUCAGGUAACAUAUGCAAAAAAUUGCCUGUAUUUUUCUUUGUAAGUUUAAUCCUUACUUAAUUUUAAUAGGUUUUUUAGUCCUUACAAAAAAAUAUUACUUCUAAUUUUAGUCCCUGUUACAACAAAGUUUGUUUAAUUAUUCUUAAACUCUUAAAAAUUUUGAACGAAUUUUUUAAGACAAGUUUAGAACACUGUAAUAUGUUCAUUUACCAAAAUUUAGAUUUUUUUUAACAUGAAACGAAUUAAAUAUGAAUUUUUUAAAACGACAAAUGUUAAAGAUAAAAUUAACAAAGUCUGGCCGUAGAAAUCAAAUUUUGCGACAAUUUUUUGCAGAGGAACUUUUAGUAAUGUUCUUAAUACGUAUGUAAAAAUUGUUUAAAAACUCAAGAGUUUAAGCAUAGUUUAAACAAAUUUGAAUUGAGGAGGGACUAAUAUUGAGUGCAUAAAAAAAAUUUAUGGACUAAAAAACCUAUUAAAAUUAAGUAAGGACUAAACUUAAAAGGUCCCAAUUUUGUAGGGACAAAAACAUAUUUAACCCUUUUUUUAAAGAGGCCAAAAUGGAAUAUAUUACCAAAUCAAAAUAUCCUUCAUAACACAAGAUGUGUCAUGGAAGAACAGAAGAGUCAAUACAAUGUUUACAUGUCGAAAAUUAGUAUAAAAACUACUAAAACAAGGAAAGAAAUAACAAUUAGCCAAUGUCCAUGAUAAUUGAGUUGGGAAAGAAAAUGAAACAUUUGCAAAGUAUUAUUAAAGGGAAAAUAAACAAAUUUCGCCUUCAACCACGAGAAGGAAAGUGACUUAACUUUAUCCACUAACCGCAUUAUCCAGCAUUCUUUACCAUUUAAAUAUUCUAUUAUUUCUUUCUUUCCAUAUUUCUCACACAGUUGCAAACGAAAUCAGAUGCAAGAUGUAUUUUUCUUUGUUAUGAAAUUCAUGGAUAUUCUCCUAUCACAAUGUUGAGAAAUCCACGAAAGAAAAUCUCUACAAAAAAUAUAUAUAACUAACAUAUCAAUUGUGGUUCGAUAAUUUACACCUACAUAUACAAUGUCAACAUGAUAAGUUAUUACGCAACCAUUAAUCUUUUAAAAAAACAAUUUCAAACUCUCUCAUGACACACAACUACCUAAACCACCUAUACUCUCAAGAUGCUUCAUACUAAAAGAUGCUUGCAAGUUUUUCCCAACCUAUAUUAAUUAAUUUUAUGUUCUCUAUUCAUAUAUUUCUGUUUUUAUCUCUAUUGACAUUUUUUGUUAGAGUGUUACAUAAGUCAUGAAUUUUAGAUUUUCAUUUUCAAAUGGAGGGAAAAAUUUUAAACUUGUGACACUAAAAUUAGACAAAGGGUACACACUUGAAAUAAAUUAAUAACACGUUACUUCAUAUAAAAAAAAUUAGGGUUCACAUUAAUUUUCUAUAUGUGUACAGCUAAAAACAUGACAAUAUAGGGAAAGAAGUUAAAAAGGUAGGGAUAUCUUUUUUUUUGAAGAAGAAAAAGGACACAUUUAUACUAACAUAGCACAAAGAUUAUGAUAGAACAUAUAUCUCUCUGAUAAUGCUGUCUGGGUAUAUAUAAGUGGUUAUGUUUCAAAUUUCUGAGUCUUUAAGGCAAAGUAUUAUUGAGUAUGGGAAAGAAAAUGAAACAUGUCCCAUUCACUAUUGAUGUAUAAUUACCUAAACAAAAUUAUUAUAAUUGUUUUGUUUUAAUUGAAAGGGACAUAGAACAUGGGGCCAUUUAAUAAAAGAGAGAAAGGUACUGACUUAGCUCAAAAAAAUUUCUUCUAUCUUAAAUUAUAUGUCCGACCAGAAAAGUCAUUAUUACUAUUCAUUAUUGGAUAUUAAUAAAAAAAAAUUAUUAAACACAAUUAUACUAACAUAGCUCAUGGAUAUUAAUAAAAAAAAUUAUUAAACUACAUUUAUACAUAGCUCAAAUUAUUUUAUUUUUUUUGACAAAGUCAGUUUUUUUAAUUAGUUGAUUAAUAUUUUUAUUCAAAUUUUAUUCUAAUUAAGAUGUUUUAUACACUAGAGGAUUGUAACAAAAUAAAAAAAUAAAAAAGUAAAUAUAUAUAUCCUAGACCUAGAGGAUCCACUAACAUAUUCGUACCAUGGUUUUUGGAUUACCAUGUUAUAGCUAUGAAGUUUUCAACAUUGUUUAACAAUGACUAAUUUGUGUUGAAGAGCAUGUGGGUUACACAAGGUGGCUGCUCCCCUUCAAUAUGUUUUUGAUCCCUAUAAAUAUACCAACUUGUCGUUUUAGUUCCUCUAAAAUUUUCCUUCAACUUUUUGUCCCUAUAAAAUUUUCAAUCGCUACUUUUGGUUCCUAUUUUUAAGUAAAUUUUCAUAUUUUUAAUUAAAUUGUGCAGAAAUGUAUGAAAUAUUGUAAAAAUCACUCAAAAAAAAAAAUAGAAUUUUUUAACAAAACAUGAAUUAAAUAUGAAUUUUUUACCGCCAAAAAUAUAAAAAUUCAUAUUUAAUUCAUGUUUUGGUAAAAAAUUCUAAACUUUUUUGGGAGAGAUCCUUGUAAUAUUAUACAUUUUUCUGCAAAAUUUUAUUUGAAAAUAUGAAUUCUACAUAUGAGUUUACUUUAAACGAGGGACCAAAAGUAAAGAAUGAAAAUUUUAUAGGGACUAAAAGUUGAAGGAAAAUUUUAGAAGGACUAAAACGAAAAGUUAGUAUAUUUAUAGGAACCAAAAACAUAUUUAACCCUAGAAAUUUUAAUAUGUUAUUAAUUUUUGUAAAGCUGGGCCUAAUUAAUAAAUUAAUUGGACCACUUAUAUGUUCAUUUCCAGCCCAAUUAUUCAUGAGUUAGCAUAACUUAUUUAAUAAUAAAAUAAAUAAGGCAAUUUCUACGGUACACUCAAUAAAAUUGAGUGUAUAGGUACACCCAUAUGUUAAAUGAAUAGUUUAAUGAGUUAUUUUUUUUAGAAAAAAUAUAUUUUCUAUUGGUUACAAUUAUAAUAAUUAUAUUUUAUUUCUCAAAAGUGUCGGCAAAUCAAAAUUCAAAUUUUUUUAAUUUUUAAUACCCAUAAUAGUGAAUAUUGAUUUUUUUUGGAUAAAAUGUUAAAAAAUUAGUAUGAUUCUUAUAAAGGAUGAAAUGACGUUUUUUCUUAUAAAAUAAUAUUUUCUAAAAUAUAAAAGUUGAUAAAUAUCUCUUUAUUACAUAAAAAUGAUCGAUAACUUAUUGAUUUAUGAAAUAGGUAUACUGGUACACUUUAAUUUAAGGGUGUACCAUAGAAACUCCCCAUUGUAAUGCCUAAUAGUUCCACCUGUAUAAGAUAUAUCUCUGCAUAUUUUAGGUCAGUGAAUAUUAGUACGUAUGGUAUGUUAUGUAAGUAUGUAGGCUAAAGCAUAGGCACACACACUAUUCCUUAAUAAAAUCUACUAUUAGUACGUAUCAAAUAUCAAUGAUUUUAUUUGUCUUGUACGAAAAAGGAUGGAAAAGAAAAGUGAAAUGCAGGAGAGGGGAUAACGAAUGUGCUUGUUUGAAUCCAGAAAUAGAUGUUUUAAUUCUAUGAUUGAAAUAUCUUUCAAAAAAAAAAAAUUAUGAUUGAAAUGUAUAUCUUGGAAACAAACAAUUCGUGUCCUAUGUGGUGUAAUUUUCUUCUGCAAAAGUUAGGCUAAAAAAUUAUUCUCUCUUUGAACAAGAAUUGUUACUACUCCUUACUUUCAAUGACCCCAUUAUGAAUGACACGUCAAUCGUAAUGCUAAUAGUUACAAAAAUAAAGCAAUUAUUCUAUGUAUGUACGUAGGGUUCAUUUUUUUCAAUCUAAUUUUAGAGAGCAAGAGCAAUGAAUACAUUUUUUUUAAUUUUCACAUGGUACUUUAGUAUUUUGAAUUCAGAAGAAAGAACAAGAUGAGAGUUCCAUUAAUUGUUGCAUGGUGGUUAUAGCAUUGAGCUUCAUUAAUAGUUGACAUAUUGUCUCCGUUGGCAUAACUCAGUUGACAGAGACAUGUAUUGUUAUAUGCAGGGUCUGGGGUUUGAAUCCCGGACACCUCACUUAUUUACCUUGGGAAAGGUGAAUUCUAACCAGUAGUCUAUCUGAAAGAAAAAAAAAAUAGUGGACACAUCUUAUUUGUUUUAAGGGUUAUGCUCUAUUAUUUGUGUUAGUAGGAUAUGAGUUGCGUUGAUGUUGGCUUGUUUUUUAUAUUUCGUUUGGACUUGGGUUGUUGCAUUGUGACUUGUAAUUGUAUUUUAUAUUAUUGACACAUCUUAUGACUUGAGCAGUUUUCGUUAAUUUUUCUUUUAUUAAAAAAAAAAAAAACAAGAUUAAGAUAAAGAAUUACCGGAUUGGUUUAAGGUUAAUCAAUAUGAAUGGUGACUAGGAAAAUAGAAUUUACAUAGUCUACUCAAAGCAUUUUUUUUUUUUGUCAAGCAUUAUUUCUAAGCAAUGUAUAUUCAAUCUCAUGAAACCAAAAAUAUAUUCAAUCUCACGUCCGUAUAUAUGUCUUAAAUUAGGAGUGAUCACAAGUUUUCUCAUUAUUUCCUUCAAAAAAAAAAAAGGUUUUCUCAUUAUUACCCCUAUUAUUACUAAAAAAAAAAAGCAUUAUUUUGAAAGGAAGAAAUAUUGUUGAAUCCAAGAGCCGUUUAACAUUGAGAUUUUAUUUUGUAAUACUCAAAUUAAUUAGAUGUCAUUUUUUUUUUUUUUUUUAAGAAAAGGUGCUUAUAGCAUUUCAUUUAUAAUUGAAGAUUCAAUACAAUUGGGUAUAGCAUAAUAAACUACAGCACUAGCUAAUAAUGUGGCCUCUUCAGAAUGAAACAUAGAACGAGACGCUUCAACAAUGUGCCCAAAUUCAGAUAUAUCAUCUCGUCUAGCGGUAAAAGCAUCUUUCCUGAUUUUUGAAUCUACUUCAAAAUCAAUGUUGUCCAUUUGCAUAUCACUCAACCAUUGAAUAGCAUGGAACAAACCUAAUGCUUCUCCCACCUCAACAGAGUACACACCUUCAAAGUUCACAAUUUUGGCAAGGACAAAAGUCCCUUCGUCGUCUCGCAAGCAAAUGCCAACACCGAUGCGGUUAUGGGGGAUAGAAAAAGUCGCGUCAACGUUACAUUUCAAACGACCACUCGCAGGGGGCUGCCAUUUGAUCUGUUGCAGUUCAGCAGUAGUAGAUGCCGCAAGAACAGCAACUGAACUGUUCACAGCAGCAGCCUGUUGCUGCAGACCGGUGCAGGCUGAGUUGCGGGCUGCAUAUCUGUUCGCAAACUGUUAGCGAACUCCCAAUCAUCUAGCAUAACUUUAGCUCUUUCAAUCACAGCUGCAUGACUCCGUAACAUCCUCCCAAACCUUUAAAUUACGGUGUUUCCAUAAACUUCAUAAUAGCAUAACCAUUUGUUUUGCCUUCAUAGUAGAGAGAUUCUGCAGAAGUGAAAAAAUAGCCUCUUCACCCGUAUGAGCAGUAGCAACAAAAAUCAAUAUCAGUCCAUAAACCGGCCCUUGUCCAUAGUUGAAUCGCAAAGGGACAUGAAAAGAACAGAUGAGCAAACUCUUCUCGACCAGAAUAGCAAUUUACACAGUCAGUUGGAUGAUGAGUCAAUAAGUAGUCGUUUUAGUAUAAUAUUUAGUUUCGUUUUAUUUAGAUUUAAGUUUAUUUUAUUUAAAUAUUAUUUCCUUUUAGAGCUAUUUUACUUCAAUUGCAUAUUAUUAUAUUUCAGGAAUGAAUAUUUGAUGGAUUGAAUCUUGGAGCAAAAGAAAGGGGUUUGGAGCUGAUUCAGAGCAAAAAUACGAAGAUUCGGAGACAAAAAUAUGUCUUCCCCAAGUCAGAAGCUUGGCACGGCCCGUGCUAACAUUGGCACGGAGCACGGCCGUGCCACCUCCCAGGAACACCUUUUGCUGCUUUUGCUUAGAUUUUAAGCUACAUAAUUUUAGUUUUACCAAAAAGGCCGCAAAUUCUUGUGGAACAUUCUAGUGAUGUAAUUGCUUAGAUUCUAAGUCAAAUGUAAAUUAUAAAUAGAGUAGCUAGCCAUCACAAAUAUUCAUCUUUUAUUCUUGGAAUUCAAUAAGUGACAAUUGUCUUUCUUAAUAAAAGUUCUUUUCUUUUCCUUUACUUUCUUGUUAUUUUACUUUAUGCUUUUCUUCUUCUUCUCCAUGUCUACAAUGAACAUGAGUGAGUAGACUUCUCUUGUCUUGGGAUUGUUGGAUAAGUCUAAUAACAUAAUCCUAAUCAAACCAAGCUUGAAACCCUAAUUUUAUGUAACCCUAAUUUCUAAUCUAAAUUCACCGUUUUAACAGGAAUUAACCAUUAUCAAACUGUGGAAACGAAAGUGGAGGGUUGAUAAUUGUUAAUCCAUCAUCUCAAAUAUCAAUUCAUAAAACGAAAGUGGAGUUUUGAUAUUCGAACAAGUGAGUUUAGACAAGGAUUGUAAAGGCAGCGAAAUAGUCUUUACAAUCCUUGAGACAUAUAAGUUUCGAACUUCAAGGAUUCUAAUAGUAAUCAAGUCAGCGAAAUAGGUUUGGUUGCUAGAGGAACCAAAAUCUAUUAGUAAUCAAGUCAGCAAAAUAGGCUUGAUUGCUAGAGGAACAUAAGAGAAACUUGUCUUUAGAAGUUAGGUCUAACAUAAGGUUCUAGGUUUAAUAGUUUGGUUUGAGAAGGACUUGUCGUUAAGAUGAACCAAUAAUCCCAAGGCUCUCUUUUAUUAUUAUUUUCAAUCGUUUGAAAACCCCAACUUUGCAACUUAAUUCUCUUCUAAUCAUCAACUAAAAGUUAAUUGAAUUGAACAACUCCCUGUCGGAACGAUACUCUUUUAUUACUACUUCGGUAAGACCGUGCACUUGCGAUUUUAUCCCAUCAUUGGACAAUGAACCCCUUUAUCAUGUAGUCUAAUCCGGGUGGGCAAAACACCUCGACACAUACGCCAAACCAAGUUCUUCACUUUUGGUGGGACUUUGAGUCUCCAAAUUCCAGACCAAUUGCCUGGCCUGUCAAAAUAUUGUUGAUCUCAAUUAUAUGAUUUUAUCAUAUUAUUAUGUUUAUCGGAAUUAUCAUUAAAAAACAUUUUAUUUUUUAUUUAAUUGGGCUUGUGUGAAAAUGAUUUGUGUGAGCUUACUAUGAUGGGUAAGUAAGCCCUUAUGUAUGCCCCAAGGAGUGCAACCUAUUUCUAGCCACUUUGAUUGUGUUGUUGCCCCAUUGUAUACUAAACACUGCACUUAGAUGAUACUUGUUGCAUUAUUUUAUUUUAUUUUACUUUUGUUGUAUUAUUUAAAUUAUGAAUUAUGUCAUUUUAUGAAUGUUGUAUUUCAUAUGAAUGAAUGAAUGACUAACUUUGGAAUGAAUGAAUUGAAGAAUGUUGUAAAUGUUGAGGUAGUUGCACUUUGGUAUGAAUGAAUGAAUGUAUGAAGUAGUGGCCAAAACACAAAAACUAAGUUUUUGAAACUGUGCAGGUUUUUCUUUGUAACUGAUAGUUAAUUUGUCGUUUCUAGUACUUCAAUAAGUUAAGCAUGUUAAAUUAUACUGUGAAAUUAUGUUUAAGGCAUGUUUUUGUUGUACAAUUUGAUUUAAUUAAUGACAGAUUUUUUUCAAUUUUUAGUUGUUUUACAUAUAUAUAAUGUUUGUGUCCUUGUUAUACAUUCCUGUUUGAACUGAGUUUUUCGCAGCAACGUUAACCAUCGUUCCUAGAGCGGAAAUUAACUUCCGUUUGUGAGCGGAUGGUAAUUAAUUACCGAUAGGGGUAUUUUCAUCGGUUUAGAAUGCUUGAGAGCAGUAUAUGAGUGCUUAAGCUCUCAAAAUUACACUACCAGAAACAUGCUAAUGUUAAAAGUCAUAUUUUAAUGGGUGGAUUGAGAAAUUACUGACUUUUUUUAUCGUUAAUAAAUUUGGUUAUUGCACUUCCGACCCCCUACAUUGCUCAUUUUUGGCAAACAACCCUACCGUAUGUUAACUUCCGAUAAACUUUGAGAGGAAACAAAACCAUACCAAAAGAUAGGCCCUGCUAGGUGGGGAUGAUCUGCAGCCAACAAAUUUUGCAUCGACUCGGUCCAAUUGAUCCUAUCAGCCCAUGCCCCAAUCCAACAUCAUCAACACCUUAAUGUCGUCAAACAUGCUUAUAGAUGCGACAAAUAAAAUUAUAAGUUUGAUCUAUUUGUAAAAAGACAAGCCUUAAAUUUGGAGGUUUGGAGUUCAAACCUUACCUUCAAUCGGAACACCAUCCGCUUACCCAAAAAAAAACAUUCCAUAAAAAAUAAGUUGUUUGAAAUGACUAGUGAAAUAGUACCCCAACUAUCAUUAAAAUUGUUAAUAAAUAACCUUUUAAAAUAAGUUGUUUUUUAACGUUGGCGUCGACGACUAAAGCCAAAUUUCUCGGAUUUUGCAGGGAAGAAAUUCGAACAAAAACGUAUAGAGAUCAAGACCAAAAACAGCUAUGCGAGGACCAAUUGCAUUUAAACCAACAUACUUUUAUAUUUUAUCUAUUAUUUCUUUGAAAAACAAUUAACAAUUUGCGCAGCAACUGAUUUUGAACCUAAUCAAACUAUACAUAUAAGAAAAAUAAAAAUCAUUCAUAAACAAUAACUAGAAUAAAUAGCCAUAAGGCAUCAAAUACAGAAGAUUAACCAGAACAAACUACUUUUCUCAAAUUUUAACUCUUAAUUUGAAUUAUAUCAGUCAUCAUCUUCUAUCGAACUGUCAUGUGCUCGUUACAACAUCUUUCUUAGCGUAAAAUCUCCUAUACAUGGAAUCAACUUUGGUGAGAAAGAACGUGCCUGGAAGUAAGUAGUUACAGUCUUGGCCAGUCACAAAUUCCUUUCCACCAUAAUGGUGCUCCAUGAUUUUUGUGUUUUCGACAAAUUUUUCAGGUGGUAACUGCAAACAAAAGUAGGUUUUAAUAUAAGAAAUUAUAUUUGGACAUGAAUAGUACAAGUGAAUGUGUGAAGAGUAAGAAAAUAAGCUGGGAGAAAACAUGUGACACAGAAAUGACAGAAAACAAAAGUAACUAUAUCAUAUACGAAAGAUUCAUGUGAUAAAUCAAAAUAACGAAAACAAAUGUGAUUGCUACACGAAAUGAUAAAAAUGUGGAUGGCUACACAAUGUUUAAGGUCAAAUACAAUUCCUCAUAAUGAAUUAAGAUUCAGUUUUGUAUCGACUGAGUUCAGUUUUGUUCCAAAUCGAGAUACGGCUCACAUAUUUGUAAGAUACUUAUAACCAUGAAUGCAACUGUAGCAUAGUCUCUAUCUAAUUUUUCAUGUGUAGGUAACUACUUGUCAGCUUAAGGAAGGAGAUUUUUCAAACACUUUGGUGACACAAGAAAUUUUUGGUGACACAAAAACGACUAAAGCCAUUGGUUUUCACGUAGGGGAUUGAGAUUUUUAUCAAAGAUGCAUACCUCAAUUCUCUGCUUCAAUUUGCCAGAAACAUUCAUCACCGUCACAAUGUUCGACAAGUUAAAGGGAUGUUGACCUUCUUGAAGGCGGAAGGAGAACAUCGUAGAGGUUAAACCACUUCCAUAUGAGAACAUAACUACCCUUUUACCUACCUGCACAUUUAAAGACAUGUUCAAUGUCGGCCUCUAAUAUGUGGUCAUGAUCAUAAGGAAGGUAAAAUAAACAAAGAUACAAGUGAGACAAACCAUACCAGUGAGUCGUGUUUAUUGUGAAGGAGAGAUGCAAAUGCUGCAUACAGAGAUGCAGUGUACAUGUUGCCAACUUGCUUUGGGAUUAAUGUGCUCGGUUGUACCUUUGCAUCAUAUAUUUUUUUUGCAGCUUGCUGGUUUGCCUACAGAAUCACAAUGACCGCUGGCAUCUAAGUUCGUGUUUGGAUCAAAAGACUUCAAUUUGUGUUUAGUACGUUUGGUGUUUGUUUGUAACUUUUUUCUCCAAACGUGAUUUCUACAUUCAAUAUUUGUUUUUUGAACAUUACACUCAAAUUUAUUGUUCAACUCAUUUCAUGCGAAUGUAUCAAAAUAUAUACCAUUUUACCUUAAAAUCAGUUUCAAUUAAAAUCAAUUUUCGUCACCGUUGAACGAAACAAGCACUUAAGUUACAUUUCUAGAAGUCAUUAUGGUCUAUGUGCAUGACUCAAACUCCACAAGAUUAGCUACCUUUUCAAGAUCACGACUUUGAUAGCUCUCAUCACCGGUUAAGGAUGCAUAAGGUGCUAGAGCUUGCCUUGAAACCUCAUCAACAAAACUGGUACAAUAUAACAACCAGAGAACAAAAACAAUUAUAAAUAGGAUUUGAAGUAACUAAUUGAAACCAAAGUGUAUUUUAUGGUUCAUGUACGCCUGGUUUUCAUGUUUCAAUAAGCUUUACUCUUUUUCCAAUAAGUACUAGCAAAUCUUGCUGAAAAGUUAAACUACUAUAUUCAAACGAAACCUAGAGAAUGUACCACCUAUUGGCUUAUUAAAAAUAAAAUUAUCCAAAUGGUAAACAAAUAGUCAUCAAAGCCAUGUUUAGAUGAAGAACUUAAUUAAGCUCUUAUAGGCUAGCAUAAGCGCUUAUCGUAUAAGUUCUUAUCUAUAAGCUAUUUGUAUAACAAAGGAUAAAAUAAAGUCAAAUUGUUUUCAUAUAAGCUAUAAGCUAUUUUUAUAAGUUAUCCUGGAAACUACUUAUUAAUCUGUCAUAAGUUGUUUCCAUAAGCUCACCUAAGCAGCCUCACAAGUUCUUAUACCAGUAGAUACACUUAAAUAACUAGAUCCAAUCACAUCAAAAGGCAAAUGGAAUUAUAUAGCUUGGCACCAUGAAUUAACAGUGGAUUGAAGCAAAAGAUCCACAAACCUUGGAUUUCUGAGGAAGUCAUUGAAGUAUAACCGACCAAAACUUUUUUGCACAAGCUGCAAUAAAUAAAAAAAGCACUCAUGAAAGUUAAAACAAGUUGAAGGAGUAAAAAAUAUAGGGUUCAAAAUCUGGUAAAGAAGAAAAAUACUAACAUAACAAUUAAUAUACUAGCAUUUGCUUAUUAAACAAAAGCUCGUUUUAGGCAGCGUUAUUAUGACAUAACAGCGUCUGUUUUUAAAAACCGAAAUCCAAGUAUGGAGAAAUGAUUUCAGCAUGACUAUACAAAUGAAUCAUAUGAUGAUUACCUUGUUAUAUGGAGAAUGAAAAACAAAAUAAUCAGAAUCUGCCAUUGAAAAAUGCUUCCCCUCCGAUUUUUCAAAUCUGUACAUGCAAGAGCAGAAUAAGAAAGCAAGAAAACUUCAAAGAGUUUUUUGGUUGUGUUUAUUCUUACUUUUCACAAAACACCCGAUAGCAUGAAUCAAGUGCCAUCAGAUAACAGGUCUGUGAGAGUUUUCCAUCGACGACCUACAACAGAAAAAGGUCAAAGGUAAAAGUCAAAAAAUUUAACCAAACUGUGCUGAAUACUUGGUAGACUGGAUGGUAGAAAGAAUCAACAAGGAUUUGAGCACAACAGUAAUAAUUAUUGUUUGUAGCACAGAAGCUUCAGAUUGAAAGUGUGUCUUAGUGUCAAACUAUGGUUGGUGUUUGACACUCGUACGACAUGUGUCGAAACUUCACUCCAGUUUCGGAAUAUAAAAGCCUACUCUUUUCGGCUUCAACACGUUGAGGACAUGACUUCAAUAAGGUCUUGCUUGGGAAAAUUGCGUAAUUGUUUAUAACAUAAGCGCAUAUUGUAUAAGUGGUUAUCUAUAAGCUAUUUCAAUAAAAAUAUAUAAAAAUAAAUUCGAACUGCUUUCGUUCAUAAGCUAUCCUAAAUAGCUAGAUAACAGAAAUAAGCUGAAAACAGCUUAUGAACAUGUAAUAAGUUGUUUUCAUGAGCUCUCACAGAUAGUCUUACAAUUUCUUAGUUUGUAGAUAAACUAAAAUAUCCUAAUCCAAACAGAAGUUAAAGUAGUUUUAAUAACAAAAGUAUUUAUUCAUAAAACUAGGUAUUACAAAGAAGAUGGAAAAGCAUUACUGGGUAUUCACUUGCAAGAUUUGGCUUGUAAAAAUCAUAGGCAUGAGACAUGUGACUUCCCCUGAGUUUGCUUUCGAAAGCAAUAGGAGCAUCUGGCCCUACAAGCAUUGCAAUUGCGGCUGCUCCUCCGGUAGGACGAGCAGGUCCUUCGGCAUAUACCUGAAAAAAGAAUGUCAUAGUUGUUAAACAUUCAAAACAGAAAAAAAAAUAAUCGUUUCAAAAGUUAAACAAACAGUGACACUUGCAGACAUUCAAAAUUGAGCAUGGAAUUCAGUUAUAAAUUUGCAUGUUAUAUAGUUAGUAUAGAUUUUGCAGUUUGUAAUUUGAUGUUUCACGACUUUCUGCCCUACAUAAUUCUAUAAAAAAACUUUCAUGUACUCAACUAAUAAAUCUUCCUAAAUCAUUUUCAAGUGAUGAAGAUAUCUUGAACUUCUACUACUAAAACUAAAAAUAUACAAGUAUUGAGGAUGCGCCGCGGUGAAUUCAUGAGCAACCUAAGAUGGUAAAUUUAGUUAUUAGACUGCAAUUUCCAAAUCAAACUUAAACUUUGCCACAUAAAAAAUGGAUAAUAUGAUAAGAAUUUAACAAUGAACUCAAUUUCCUUAUACACGAAGAAUUAGUAAAUUUCAAAAUCAGUAGCAAAAGAAAGUAGGCUGAAGAAGAUUUUUGUUUGCUAGGAGUUCAUACCGCACUAUCUGUACAGACAACAAGUCCAUAACGUCCGUCCCAUGAACUACUCUCGACCCAAUUCACACAAUUGAACAAAGCUGCUGUUCCACCAUAACAAGCAUUUGUUGAAUCAACGCCUUCAAUGUCAGUAUUCCCGCUGUCCUGAUUAUUACAUGAUAUAAGAUGACAUGUACCAUAAGAACAUGAAAAGUUUGUUCACUUUAGUUCCUACCAAAUUAAUCUCAUCCGUAAGUUUAGGAAACAAUAAAUCGGAUGGAUCAUUAUAAAAACUACAUCAGAUAUCAUCUUUUUUGUUCCUUUUGACUCAAAUAUGCAAGAAUACACAGAAGAUAGGAUUAAAUCCAGUCAGUCAGUCUUACACCAUAAGAAGGGUUAAGAUACAUGAUGCAACUCCAGUCAGUCAGUCUUACACGACUUUAGCGUAUAUGGUAUUGACGACCCAGAUUGCGAAAAAUUACAAUCAAAUGCAGAAAAUCAAUCAAUAAUUGUGAUUCUAGAGACAAGAGAUCUCACAAACAGACUGAUCCAGGAAUUUCAUCUUGCUGGAGCAAGUUUAUUAAUGAUUAGUGUUUAUAUAAAAAUAUAAUCCACAUACGCUAAAAUAAUGACAUCAUUAUCGUUAAGCGUUCCAAGUUGAUGAGCUGAGCGAUGUUAAAAGAGUUUGUUCUAACUAGAAAGGUUCAGAGUUCAAACCCUAUAAACUAACUGCUAAAAUAUCAUUAAGCAAAAUGUUGGCGAUUGAAAAAACGGAGAAUGACAUACCUCAAAAAUUUGCAUCAAGAAGGUCUUAAUGGAUUUGCUUUUGUCAAUCAUAGUUUCACUUCCUACCUCCAAUCGGCCGAUUUUCUUUGGAUCAAUAUUAUAUUUUUCAAGAAGUGAACUAACAACAGUCAUGCUGAAAAUUUCAAAAACAGAAUUGAAAAGUUAUCAGAAUAACUGAAGCAAAACCAUUGCAGCUAGCUUCAGUGAUCAGCUACACAAGCAUGAAAUUAGUACCAUAGUUUUUCAAUUUUCCUAUUCUUUGGCAAAACUAUUCAUGUUCCAAUCAAAUCAUAAUUAAAAAGAAUGAAAAGCAUCUUUGUAACACCGACACCUCUGAUCAAAGGUGUGUCUGGUGUCCGACAUGGAUCGGUGUCCGACACCAACAUGACACUGAAACAUGUCAUUACGUUUAAAUAAUUCAUUUUCUCAAAUCAUUACCAGUGUCGAGUCUGGAGUUAGUGUUUGUGUCGGUGCAUCAUAGAAAAUCAUUCAUAAUUAUAAAAUGAUUAUGCAAAUUCAAAAUAGUUACCUCAUUGAGAUAAUAUCUUCAACCUCAGUACAAAAUGCCAUACAAUCUUGUCCAAGUCCAAUUGUAUAUUUCCCUUUGCUCACACCAUCAUGAGCUUCUAAAGCUUCCUACAAAAUUCACAAAUGAAAAAACAAAAACACAAUUAUUAGGGGAUAAAGAAAAUUAUAGAUUACGAAUUAGUUGGUUACUGAUUAACUAGCCUAAGAAAAACACAAAGGCUGAUGAAAUCACCUAUGAAAAACACACACAGACACUCACACUGACACAUCGACACGAUAAAAUUUUGAGAAAAUGUUAUAUUUCAAUGUAAUCACAAGUGUCGGUGUCGUGUCGCUGUCGAACACGACAAAUGUGGAACACCAGGCAGGACAUGCCUUCAAUCAGAAGUGUCGGUGCAUCACACCAAUCACUUAUCAGUAACAAACUAACUCUUAAUCUAUAAUUCACUAUAUCUCUAAUAACAAUGAAAAAUAAAAACAAAAAUCACAACUUCAAAAUAAAACAAACAUAAAAAGUAAAAACCACAAUUUCAAUCACACCAUAAGCAAAAAAAAUCAUUUCUUAACCCAACAAAUGGAAGAAAAAAAAACAAAAUGAACAUAAAAAUUGGCAUUUAAAAUAAUAACCUUCAAAAUUAGCAAAAAUCACAAUUUCAACCACUCAUUUGGAAAAGAACAAAAACACAAUAAAAAUCAUAAUCACAACUUUAAAUUAAAAAAUCACAACUUCAACAACCACAUAAGGAGAAGAAAAAGAAAGAAAAAAAAAAACUUUUCUUUUGAAAGUGAUCUAAGAAGUGAAGAAGAAAGUGCAUCAUGAUGGAAAAUAUACCUGUUGAACACAAGUGGGAGGGAAAUAGAUGUCUAUAGCGAGGAUUCCAACAUUGUUGGGGUGUGAAGAAGCCAUGUUUGUGUUGUGUGUUUUUUCUUAAAGUGAUGUUUUGUUUUUUUUUUCACUUCACCGAAUGAAUCUUGAACCAACUAACCCCUUUUUAGUGGAAAUUUUAAGGCUGUGUUUGAAUUUAUUUAUUUAUUUUUACAUAUUGUUUGUGUGUUGAGAAAGAAUGAUGUUAUUAUAAAGUUUUUUUAGGAGAUUAUUAUGAAGUUUUUCUUUAUGGAAGAAAAUUUAACUGAGUCGGAUUCACGAAUAGAAGAAAAUUUAACCGAGUUAGGUUCACAGGUGGAAGGAAAUUUAAAUGAGUUGGGUUUACCACACUCAUCAGAGUUAGGAUUUAGAGUUAGGACAGAUCUUAAUACUCAAAAUAUUUAUAUAAAAGAUACUAAGAUCAUCUAUAAUGGUGGGUGCUUCAUCUAUUUAGCACUAUAUUAAAUAGGCACUCUGUUGUGGAGUAUAAUAUAUCGGUGGCUAUGGAAGCACCCUCUCUCUCUUCAUUUUUCAUGGGUCACAUUUAAUAAAUAUUAAUAAAAUAAAUAAAAUUUGUUGAAAUGUAAUGAUAUAAAAUUAUUUGUAAGACCUAUUUAAUAAUUUCUUUUGAGGUACUGGGUUGGAGAAAAUUGACGCUUAUUAAGUAUUACCGUAAAAUGAGUGAUGUGGAGAUAUGAAAUUAAUUUAAGUAUCCAGUUUAAGGUACUCUGUUGUGAUGGUCUAAUAAAUUAUCCGUUAACUAAACCUACACAUUGACAACGAAAGUUGAAUAAAUUCCCUUAUUGAACCAGAAAUGAAGCUUUUAAAAAUUAGAGUAUAUAAUUAUUUUAAUUAUUUAAAAUUUUCUCACUGAUUAAUUUAAUAUCCGACAAAAAAACAAUAUUAAAUUAGUCUUUUACAUUUGUAUAUGAAGAACAAAUUAGUCCUUCAUAACAAAUUAGUCCCUAAAAUAAUAGUCCUUCAAUUCAGCUAACAAAAUGACUAAUUUGUCUCUAUGUAAAAUGUGAAUAACUAACUUGAAGUUAUUUUUUUGGUUAGAAAUUGAAUUGCCUUGUAAGAAUUUUUUUUUUUUUUUUGAGGGAGCCUUAUAAAAAAAUUGUGAAGGACUAAAAUUGAUGAUAGUCUAAAAAUUAAUAAUUGAAUGGUGGGAAUUAAAAAUACGAGUAUUUUUUUGUAUUCUUCUUAUGAUAAGACAUAAGUUGUGCUUUUGUGCGGUUUUUUCAAUUUUUUAGAUUAGUUUGCAAUUUUGUUUUGGAUCGGUUUGUAUGCUUGACGGUAAAAAAUGAUGAGGGAAAAAAAUAAUCUCUUAAAUGAUGAAAGAUGGGCUCAUCCCGAAAUUUGACCUUAUUUUUAAGUCCUUCCUUGUUAGAGAGUAUAAGAAUGAUUUUGUGACUGAGGAUAGAGAGUUAAAAAAUAGAAUGAUACGAAGGUUGAAGAUUAAAAUUCCUCGUAAGAUCAUUAAAACGAUUACCGAAAAUAUAAGUAUUGAUAGUUUAAAAAUGAAGUCUUUGCUGCAAAUCAUAAUGUAAGGAACAUUUUAUUUUUCACACACGUAUAAUCUUUUUUAUUUAUUACAUAUAUAAAAUGAUUCUUGGUAGAUGAUGUGACUACAAAAACAUUAGCACAUGACAUACCUAACCUAAUAAAGAAAUAAUAAGUGUAACAUAGUACAAAUUAAGUUUGAUAAUCAAUUCAAAUGUUUUUAUUCAAUUAUGAUUACCAAAAACAUAUAAGUUCAACCAAAAUAAGUACUUAGAUUUACAUCCAUCUUAAUUUUGUAGCUCAAACUAGUUGUCAUCGCCCAUAACCAUGACAAAACUAGAUUGGUGGUUAUGAGAGUGUGAGUAAAUUCGGUAGUAUGUAUGAUUUUUGCUUGGUUAUCAUAACCUUCAAGACUUAAAUGAUUUAGGUGCAAGUUAGCUAUUUGAUCACGUAUGGAAAGAUAUGUAAAUUGCAUCAGGUGAGUUGCUCAGUGAAAUGUUUUAGUUGGAAUUUCAAGAGCACUCUAAAUAAGGAGUUCGGGUAUGCUCAAUUUAGGCUAUGCUCCAUUUACUCCAUUUAAGAUUUGGAUGCAAGACAUGUGGCAAAAAAAUAUCCAACGGUUGAGAUUUUAAAUUAAAAAACAAUAAAAGGUUGUUGCCAUAUGAGAGAAGAAGGGAACAUGAUUUGUUUGUUAUUAUUAUGUAUUUUUAUUAAACAAAUAUUUGAUUUUUAAUUUAAAAUCUUAACCGUUGGAUGCUUUUUUACCACAUGUCUUUCAUCCAAAUCCUAAAUGGAGUAAAUGGAUCUUAGUCUAAAUGGAGCAUACCUGAACUCCUAAAUAAGACUUAGAUGAAAAUACACUUUUCAAGAUAAUGAAUUUGAUCCAUUUACUGCUCUCUAGGUGUCUCCUUUUAUAGGUCACACUUUCUUGACCUAAUGGGCCUUUCUUUGGAUUUCCAGGCCUAUUAACCCUCUAAGGUCCAUAUCGCUCAUAUGUACCAGGCCCGUGGAGCUGAUCAUGUUUCUUUGCAUUGCUCGUCCGAGCACGUCACUUGUCCGUGCAGGAUGUGUGGCACGUUAUGAGAUACCUUCAAGAGGAGAACCACCACAUGCUUAGACAACGACCUGAGAGAGAGAGCUAGUGAUGUCGACAGUGAAGCUCACAUAACCUAAACAAUCAAGCUUAGUUGUACAUGUUGAAUAGUCAAUAUAAAAGAGAGUCCACGUGAUAUGGUCCUCCAUACUAGUCCACAGUCUACUAUUUAAUCAUUUUCAGUCAUAGAUAAGAUGACGCAGGACAAGACAACCAAAACAAUGAGACAUGCUUUUUAUAUGCCAUGAAUCUACUACAUAACUAGGGAGGUGAGAGUAACAUGAUCCUAAAAAGAUAUGUAAGUGUUGUGUUCAUGGUGUUUAGAACUAAUUGUUGAGUAUGACUACUAUAUAGACCAUGAAAGGGGCAGGAUGUGGGGGACCUGAGCUGGUCAAUCAGGACUAUAUAUACGACUUGUAACACCGUAAAUCCUAAUUCAUUCGCUUAAGUAAUAUACGGAACUCUAGCUGCCCUAUAGUAUUAGAGUUAGACACUGUAUGCUGAACUGCGUAAACAAACGAUCAUGUUUUAUUGUUUGUAAUUUGCACUUUCUUUAAUCUUCUUUCGGUGGUUAGAGGAGGGCGAUGUUUAGAGCUAACACUUCUUUCAGCUGUUAGCUGACAUUUUUCCCCUUAAAAUCAAAUUUUGGUUUCAAUUUUCUUCCUACAAUUUGCCCUUCAAUGUUCACUGUAAAGUUAUUAUGAACCUGCCUGAACUCAUGUGCUAGAACUAGGAAAUCCGGAUCCAAAGGAAGAAAAUAAACACGGGAGAACACAUCGUUUGGUCAUGGAGUUCGCUCAAUUGUUCCUACGUCUACGAGAGCAGGGUGGCUUCUGUAUGUUUUCUGUUAUGCAACAAAUUAGUGUCACAAAGUACAUUGUUUAAAACUCGCAGCGAAGUUUACUAGUUAACCCCUAAUAGAGGGCUUCGCCCCCGACCAUCUUAGUUGUAAGUUGGAACCUAAUAAACAAUUAAUCGGACAAGCCCAAAGGACAGGCGCUCUGCUUCGCUCGUUAUGCUUUUAUCUCAUCUGUCCACAUAUCAGCGAAUAGCUGCCAUCUUCAACAAGAGCAUAAUAGGAAAUGAAUGUAAGUGUGUGCAUAACAUAAUUUGAAUAUUUAACAUAGUUUCUGAACUCAUUAAACAAAUGAAUGAAUGAUUUAUUAGGGUCAUUGGAAAAUCAAAUUUCCAUAUACAUGAAAUUUCAGCCAAAUUCACAAAGUACAGAAAAAUGAAUGAAACAUAACGGAACUUAACAAAAUGUUGCGAAUCGCUGAACCCAGAAAACAACGUCUUGUUCAUAUUCCACUCGCUACAGAGCUAUAGCGCCAUAACAGCUGCUAUUUCACUACAGUCUGUAGCAAAUAGUAUAUCGCGGAACAAUAGCAAUAUGCCUAAAGCGCCGCUAUACUUCAACAGUUUUCUGAUUCAGAGCAGUAUAUCUCCACCUCUCCUUCUCGACAAAAUCAGCAUCGAGAAACCUAGCAACAAAACACCAAAGCUUAUAGAUAUCAUCAAAAUUAGCCAAAAAACCUAAUGCAGCAGUAACAACAGUUAUUCCAACUUUUUCGUUAUCUUUCUUUUUGUUCUCCUUUAGAACUCUUCCCUUUUCAUCGGCAUACUUAUCUGCAAACCAUAUAUGAUGCAACAAUCCGUAACUAAUAGAAAUAUUACUUCUAUCAGCGAGUUUUUGCACAAGAACAGGUUCAACUUUUUCGCCUUUCCAAUCAAAUAUAUUGAAUGCAAUUGCAGGUCCUCUAUCAAAUUUUACUUUUGGACCAUAAAUCGUCACUAGAGAAACCCCUUCUGUGUUAGGAUGCUUAAGCUUCAACAUCGAAUUCACCAACCAGUUUAUCAAGUACCUCGCGCGAUCAUUGAUCAGUAACAAUCCUAAAGAAUCCACUUGAUCUAAGCACCUACAUUCAAUAUCAAAGUGUUCAUUUUUAUCACUUUCUUUAACACCCUUUUCAUGGAUUUGAACUUGCUUUUCCACCUCCUCAAUUUCACAAAUUUCAGAUGGUUUUGACACACUUGGUGCCUCUACGAUCUUAAUCUCAGAAGAUUCUCCUUCUACGAAUUUUGCAGGUUGCGAUGUUUGUAUCAUACUAGACAAAGAUGUCAUAUAAAAUGGUUCUUCUUCGUCUAAAUGUAAGGUAAGUAUCGAAUCUUGCUGCUUUUUUUCUUGCACAAGGUUCACUAUUCCUACAGAAGAAUUUGUUUCCAAAAUCGACGUAGCACUUUUCUUGAUAAAAAGGCAACCAAAUCCAGAAGGGUUUUCUCCAAAAACUUUAUAACAAGAACAUAUAAGAAAAUCUGGUUGAAAAAGUGAAAGAACAAAACAAUCCAUGUCUUUCGGUCCUAAUGCACAUGCAUCAACCAAAACAUUCCAACCAUUCUCUUUCGCUAUACUUAUCCAAAUAUAAGGAUAUCUUGCUCCUGUUACUCUUGAAUGAAGUGGCAAAACAAAAAGACCCUUAUUUUUCUUCUUCUUUCUCUUACUUACAAUCAUUUUCCUCAACUUUGUUGAUUGAAUUCUCAGCCUUGGCCAUGAAAACUCUGCUGACAUAGCUUUUGCUCCUCGUUUUUCGGACGAGCUAAUCAUCGCUUCCACAGCUUCACUUUCAUGGUCAUAAACUGUUAAAAGCUUUCUACUUUUUUGAAAAUUGUAACAAUCUGCUACAAGUUUGAAAGCCGAUGUUCUAUUAGCAGUGAAAACCAUGAAGUAAUCGUUUUCCGAUAUGUUAAGAUAAUUCAUGAUUCUUUUUCUCAUUGCUGACUCAAAUUCGGAAUCUUUUCCACCAUGAAGAAGCAAAGUCUUCAAAUUUCCUGUUUUGCAGGAUAUACUAAAAAACGGCAUAUCAGAAAACUGCGGUAGAGAUUCUUGUGUUUUUCGAUGAGUUGAUUUUGAUGUAUCAUGAUAUUGUUGCAUUUGAGAGUAAGAAAAAAGACCAAUACCAAUAUAAUCAAGACAAGUAUGGUUUGAAAAUGAAAGAUGAGAAUAUUCUUUAUCUCUAACAUGAUCAACUUUUUCUGUCUCAGAAUAUUGAGGAUACACUUUAUUGAAUUCAUUGAAUGAUUCUUGAAAUGAUGGAAGAGAUUCAUGGUUUGUGAAAUGAGUGUUUGGAAAGACUGAGGAUGUCGUCGAUGAUGCGAAAGUGCGACGACAUUCUGAUGAACUGUUUCUGUGUUUUGGUUUUGUGUUUUGUGAAUUUGGUGAGUUGAAAAUUGAGACAUUGCAACAACAUUGAUGAGGGCAUGUUUGUGAGGUUUCAUUUUGGCUAAGGUUGUCCAUGUUUUGUUUUUUUGGUUUUUCUGUUUUCUAAAGUUAAAGAGAUAAGUGUUUUUUAUAUGUAUUUGUUUAUUUAAUGUUAUUAUUAUUUUCUUUCUAUCCAGCUAAUGAUUUCUUGUUGCAUUCUGCCAAACGGCAUAUACAAGAAAAUAAAUACAAAUAUACAGAAAGCAAUUGAAUGUGUCUUUUUAGAGAAUUUUUCAAUGCUCACUCUAUUCUCUUAGAGGUACAAAAUACAGAAAACAAUUCACUUUGUUGUUUUUUUUAUUAUUUUUUAUCUUCUUUUAAUUAUAGAUGAGUUGGUGGACGAGAUGGGAAUGAUUAAAGUUGAUAACGAGUGAAGGUCCGAGAUUCAUAUUAUGACAAAAGAGAAAAAACUAACAUAAAAACUAACUUGUUAACGUUAACUCUUAAACAAAAAUUAGAUGAGUUGAGGGUCGAUGACUCACCAAAUCAAGAUAAAGUUCAAAGUGAUAUAGUCUUUUUUAAUUGUUGAUAAUUUCUUUUUGAAACUUUAAGUGUUUUAGAAAUAGAAAUCCAAGACAUAUUUAAAAUUUUCUUUCAAAUACAUAAUCUUAAUAUAAUUUUUGGUAGUGAUAAUCUUAAUAUAAUUGACAUUAUUUACUUUUUUUUACAGGAAUUUUGACAUGAUUAUUAUGAAAUAUAUAAAACGUUUAAUUUAAUGACCAAUAUCAAACCAAUAUAUUAAGAAGAUAGUAAACAAUAUCAAAAGAAAAUAUUAAAGAAGAAGUAAAUGAUGUCACUUUGGCCGAGUGGUUAAGGCGUGUGCCUGCUAAGUACAUGGGGUUUCCCCGUGAGAGUUCGAAUCUCUUAGGUGACGAUUCUUUUUGGUUUUCUACUUUUAAUGUAAAUACCUUUAACAACCAAAGUCUCAAUUUUACCAAGUAUUUUUUGUACUCUUAUUAAAUUCCACCUUAGUUGGUAAAAAAAAAAAAAUUCCACCUUGCAUAAAAAAAAAAACAUGCAAUGAUAUUUAUACCAAUUAAUUAAUUAAUUUUUUAAAUUUAAUGUGAAUAUCUUAUCAACCGAAGUAUUUUUCAAGAUAAAUAAAAUAACAAUAAUUACUGGAAAAUCACUUAUAAGUAAAAGAGCCGAUAUUUUAAUCUCGAUCAUGGUAUCUGACUUAAUAAUUUCGACAUUCAUACUUGUUGAUGUAAAACGCGAACCAAAGUUCUAGAACGGAGGAAGUAGAACUUUUUUUUUUUUUUGGAUUUAGGUGGCUAAAUACGGCAUUGUAAGAUCCACCAAAAAGGUCAGCAAUCACAAUGUGGACUUUGUCUUCCAUAGUUUGCAAGGUUGACCCGUUAAAAUAUAGAAUAUUUUGCCACUAGCCAAUCAUUCUUGAAUUUUCCAACAUUGUUUGAAUGUGAUAUAGUAUUUUACUAGUAUUGAAAAUUAUAUUUUAAGUGUUAAUUAAAAAAAUAUGUUUUCUUGUUGCACACAGUUUAAAUAUUCGGAAAAUUCUAUUUUAGUGGAUCCCAUUUCUUUCUAUAUACACUAAAAAACAAAUGAUUUUACUAUAGUUUCAAUUACUUAUUUGUGUCUGCGCUAUUAUAUAAAGACAAAUGAUAACAGUUACGAUGAUGUAGAAUUUAUCUCAAUUAAUAUUUUUACAGUUUUAAAUUUUUAUAAUUUUUACUAAUACAUAAUUAAAGAUAUUUACGUGUGACGCAGUCAAUUAAAUCACAUAUUUUGGGAGGGAAGGCCAUGCCCUUUACUUCAAGGAUUUUUAGUACUCUUAAGUAUGGCUUAUUGGUAAGAACCAAUCAUAAAUAUGUUCAUUUAAGCCGGCAUUAACAAGGUUCCAAUACUUUAUUUUUUUUUGGAGAAGAGUCCAAAUACUUUUUUGAUACAUGUUUCAUAAAUUUAGUUGGAGUGGGAUAUUGUUCUGUUCAAUAGAGUAUAUAUAGUUUUUGUUGAAUUCGAUCAUAUUGAGUGAAAUUACAUUAAUCUAAUUAAUUUCCAAUACAUUAGGGUAUCAAGAGGAUGCAUUAUAUAUUAUAUAUUUAGGUUGAACUAGUUUGUUAAAGUGACAACUCAUGUCACACAAAUUAAAGACGUGAAUUUAAAUAUCACUGCCGAAUUGAGAUCAUGAAAAGAUUUGAUGCAGUAUCAUCUAUGUUUAUCUCUCUAAAACCCAAAUAAUUUCAUAGUCUCUCUACCGAUGACACAACUUUGAAGAUGUAUAAUUUUUUUUUGGCUUAAUUGCACUUUUCCCCUUAUAGUUUGCCAAUUGUGUGAUUUUGCACCCCAUAGUUUUAAACAAACGAUUUUGCCCCCUAUAGUUUUUCCCCUUUCUGAUUUUAUGGUCCCCAUGAUAUUUAGUGCUGGUUUUUUUAUCAAUUAAUGUGUGUCACGUGUGUAAUUCCAUUUUUUAAAAAAUAAAAAAUGAUAUUUUUCAGAUUUUGAGAGAAGGAGCACGUGAUUCUUCAGAUUUUAAGAAGAAAUAUCACGUGCCUCCUUCUCUCAAAAUCUGAAAAAUACCACUUUUUUAUUUUUUAAAAAAUGGAAUUACACACGUGGCACACAUUAAUUGAUAAAAAACAGACAUAUCAGCACUAAAUGUCAUGGGGACAAUAAAAUCAGAAAGGGGAAAACUAUAGGGGGCAAAAUCGCUCGUUUAAAACUAUGUGGUGCAAAAUCGCAUAAUUGACAAACUAUAAAGGGGAAAAGUGCAAUUAAGCUUUUUUUUUUUUUUUUGAGCAAACGUUAUUUAAAUCUUAAAAUGUGUCGCCGAAUAGUUCCAAAGAUUUGGUUGAGUGAUAAAAAUAUAAUAUUUUGGGGCAAAUUCUAUGAUACACCCAAUAUAUUUGAGUGUACCGGUACACUCCUUCUUUAAAUUAAUAACUAAAUGAGUUGUUUUUUGAAGAAAAAUAUUUUUUUUUAUCACUUAUAAUUAUAAUAACUAAAUCUUAUUCAUCAAAAGUGUCAACGAAAUAAAAUUAAUUUUUUUUGAAUUUUUAUCACUCAUAAUUGAGAACAUUGAUUAUUUUUUACGAUAAUGUGUAAAAACAAUUAUAAAUUUUUUUAUAAACAAUAAAAUGAUGUUUUUUCUUAUAAAAUAAUGUUCUAUAAAACAUAAAUAUUAACAAAUAGCUAUUUAUUACACAAAAAAGAAUCGUUUAUUUAUAAAAUUAUGAAGGAAGAGUACGGGUACACCUCACUUUGUGAGAAGUGAGUGUACCGUAGAAGUUCUCAUAUUUUGAAGGUUGUGGGUUCGAAUCUUAGUAAUCUCUUUAUUUUCACCGUCAGACAUCUUUGCUUUGACCCUAAAUUUUCAUAAAAAAAUGUACCAUAAACUUGGAACUACAAAACGGUCUAAUUAACUCACCUAUACAUUUAGUAAAAAAAUAAAAUUAAUUUGUAUCAAGGGAGAUUGGAUGAUUAAUGAGUAGUCUAGUAUAUAGCAUUGUAAACUGAGUCCAUGUUUAAUUCAUUUACUUUGCUAAAAUUUUACUUUGUUUUAAGAAAGACAUACACAAAUGGUAAAUUAGUAAGACUCUUUUAAUAAAUGGACCGACUAAUGGGUUCAAUUCUUCUAUCAUUAACCCUUUUGUUUGGUUGUUCAGUUAGAAAUUCCUUUGUUGUCCCAAAGCAAUUGUAAGAGUUAUUUCUAGGGACCAAUUUAGGUUUGACUUUUUGUUAUGUGUAUAAUUUUGAUACAAUGAAACGCCAUUUUGCAAUGUUAAACCAAUUGUAAGCAAAUGGAUAAUAUAUAUGAGGCAUGAAAAGGGUAAAGCUUAAGUCAAUAAAACAAAGUGACUUUUGUUGUCCUUAAAGUGUAUGCAAAUUCAAUAGUUUGAAAAUAAUUGCAAGCUAUAUACAACAAAAACAUGGGUGUGGCAUCACUUGUUCAAUCAUGAGUUGCUUUCAGCUGAGAUGGCAAGGGAAUUUCCUAGCGAAUGUUACAAUACAUAAUGUCUACGAAUAUAUAACAUUAUAAAAAAAGUUGAAUAAGCAUCUAUGGUUAAUUUUAUGCAUAAAAAAUGGAUGAUCUAUGGUUAAUUUUUAAUCCGAAGUCAUCUCUUUAAAUUGUUUUACCUUUUUCUUUUAACUUAAUUAGGGUCUGUUUGGUAAGCCCACUAAAUGAGCUUAUAGUUUAUAGCUUAUAGUCUAUCAUCUUUUCUUCCAUUUAUACCCUUAUUAUUUUAUCUAAAAACAAAUUUUACCCAUUAUAAUUUAUCACUCCUAUAAUUAAAAAUAACACAUUAAUUAUUGUAAUAAAUACCAUGCCUUAAAAAAGUCUCGUUAGAUUUAAACGAAUAUAAUUUAUACCGUACAUUUAAACGAAUAUAACCUUUUGUAACCAAAAAAACGAAUAUAACCUGUGGUUAAAAAAAAAAAAAAAAAUUGCAUCAUACAUGUAACAUUUGUGUUUUUAAUCUUUUAUCAUGACUACAUGAUUUUUAUACAAUUGUGUUUGAUUUUGCUAAAAUAAAAUACAACUGUGCUAUGUAUAUAUACGAUUUUACCUUUAUUAGUUAGUUGAACCGCUAAUUUUACCAAACACUUUAAUUAGCUUAUCAGUCGUUAGCUAUAAGCUAUCAGCUAUCAGCUAUAAGCUAUAAGCUAACUUAUAAGCUAUCCGCUAUUUUUACCAAACAGAGCCUAAGUGAUUUUCACAUGUAUUUAGUUUAUAGUUUUUUAUGAAGCUAAAAUGGAAUAUAGUUAAACAGAAAUGGUUCAACUAACACAAGAUGUGCCAAAAAGAACCACCCAAAAAGAUUACAACGUUAAAUGCCUGUUGCCAUAAAGCACAACGAAAAAACAAGCAAAGGAAACUACUCCCUAACACCCAUACAUGAUAAAGGGCUCCGCCACCCGUCAUUGUAACCGAAAGUGGAAGUGAACAUCUUAGCUUUUAACCAAGUAAACGACAAAAACUUGACAUCAUCUAACACCUUAGACAAAUCCUGAGCUUUGUUGUUAAAUAUCCUGUUAUUUUGGUCCUUCCAAAUGACCCAAACAGUAGUAUGCCAAAUCACUUGGAGGUAAGAGUGAACAUAUCGCGGGAAACCCGCCAAACCACCAAAUUGAUGAAAAUGAUCAGCCACCGAGGCAUGGGAUAUGAAAGAAAUACCAACCCACCUGUAAAUUGGUUUCCAUAAAAUGCUAAAAAUGUCACAACACAAAAUGAGAUGAACCGCCGUCUCCUGUGUGCGACACCCUCCUACACAUGCCAUGGCAUCCUGAUGAAGUAUUGUAACACCCCGUUACUCAAAUUCAAUUAAAUAACAAAUAAACAUACAUCUGAAUAAUUCCCAAACGGGCAUGUCACACUACAAUUUCAAAUUUCUUAAAUAGAAUAUAAAAUCUAUUUAACUAAACAUCCUUCAAAAUCAUCAUUUAACUUGCAGCGGAAUAUUUUCGACUUUAAUUAACAAAAACAUCCAAUAUAAUUAAUCUCCAAUAAAUAUUCAUGGCAUAAAAGCCUCAUCAAGGAAAUCCAAACAUCAAUAGGGCUACAACAUCAAUAUUCAAAAUUUCAUACAUAGGAAAGAAGUUAAGCAAUAAAAUCUCAUCCCACGUAUCAGAGCCCUAGACACUUUGAGCCACCACCUACUACUCAGGAUCACCUGCAAGUUACCCAUAUGAAGGGCAAUGUAACACCCCGUUUUCCCAAUAUACCAAUUUCUUAAAUCAUUUAUCAGAGUAAGCAUCAUAAACAACGGGAUAUCACAUAUAACAUAAUCUAAACAGUUAAAUAAUAAUUUAACCAAAUAUCUUAAACAUUGCAGCGGAAAUUAUAUCAUAAUCCAUAAAACGUUUUGGCACGCAGGCCCCAUCAAAAUAAUCUUAAAAGAGUCAGUUCAAUAUAACAAAUAGCAUAUUAUUCACGUAAUAGAACGAAGCAUGCAUAACAUAUAGCCCCAUCACGUUACGUAUCAGAGCGACCUAGACGACACAGUGAAGGCAAGGCCACUCACGACGGAAACUGCACACUAAGCGCGAUCACCUGCAAGUUACCCAUACGAAGGGCAACAUUUUCAAGCAGAAGGGGUGAGAUUUCAUAACAAAAUAAUGUUAAUCAAAGUAAUUUGAAUCAUAAUUAACAUCAUAUCAAUCUUAAACAACUUUGCAUAUUUGAUAAACAAUCAUCACCUAAUCACAUAUUCAAUCGUCAUCAACAACAUAACAUACUAGACAUGACAAUGCGACAAUUCUCUUAGACUCCUUAUAUGCAUGUGGUACCAAUCGUCAUCAUAAGUAUUAAUAUACUUUAACGUGCGGAGGACAAAGCUCCUAAUAAAUCGUGCGGAGGACAAAGCUCCUAAUAAUCGUGGUGAGGACUAAGCUCAAUGAAUGCUAAUGCAUGGACUCUUAUCAACAAAUCACCGUAAUCAACAUAUCAAUAAGCAUCCAAUAAUUUGGAGCUAAACGUCAUCUUAUUCCUCAUAUAUAGACAUUAUGCACUUAGUUAAAUAACAGCAGCAGCAUAGUCAAGUCACACAACAACAGGAUGAUAUCAAUAUAUCAAUUGCAAUUCAAUGGCAUCAUAAUAUUUCAUUCAAAAUCUUACAUAAUGUAUAAUACAUCAGUUCAUGCUUAAUUAAUAUCAACAUAUCUUAAACGGCUUUACAGAUUGCAUUAAACGUCAUCAUUAGGUUUCAUUACCAAUUAGGGUUUCACUCUUGAUCAAACGUGCGAUACAGAUCGCACAAACACUCAAUGCACUCUUAUCUGGAAGUGCUCGCGAGGCGAGAGUUCCUACUCGCCAUGGCAAGUACCAGACAAAACCAAACUAAAGCUGUUCUGGGUUUAAUCUUGUCCUACAUUCAUCCCUAAUCAAUACUAGGUAUGUUCAAGCACUCAAAGGCACUCAAGGUCAAACUAAAAAGUCGAAAAUACAAAAUCUAACAUGCUCUCUUCCUUAGCUCGCUAUGGCGAGUAAGGUUGCUCGCUGUGGCGAGCUGCAUUGCACAACUCGCUAGGCGAGGAAAAAGGGGUCGCGAGGCGAGUGAUGAAUGUGCAUCACUCACGAGGCGAGAUUCAUAGCUCGCCGUGGCGAGCGAUGAAUGUCGCUACGGCCAGACAUCCUAUUUUCACAAAAAUUCAACGAUUCACAUGGUUCUAAGCCUGAUAUUGAUUCCAAAGUUCGUCCUAAACAUGAUCUAAGGUCUAGGGGCAUUUUCUACAUCAAUUUAUCCAAUUCCUACCGUUCGAUUAUCAAUUCUAGGGAUUUGACCUAGUUUUCGUUUUCUCCAAUUCAAUCCUAAAGCUUGCUAACUAAUCAUCAGAAUUACAAUCAAUUAACAUUACUGAGUUAUUAGUCUCACCCUUACCUGGUUAUGAAGAAAUCGCAGCCCUCUCUUGAUCUUCUCCCUUCUAAGUUUUUUCUCCAUUUUCCAAAAGUUUUCACGUACAAUGGUUUUUCUAACAAUUAGGUCUUCUCUAUUUAUAUCUCCUCUUAAUAACUUAUCUUAUCUCACUUUCUCCCCCAAAACUAUCUAAAAUCUCAAAACAACCCUUAACUAAAUAUUUUAUAUUAUUUUCAAAUCUUUAUUUUAUUUAACAAUAAAAUAAGUCCCUUACUCUUAUCAAAUCUUCCAAAACUCAUAGCUUAUCAUAAUAUCAACCAAACCAUCAAUAUAGUCGUAAAUCAUUCAAAUCAUACCAAAAUAAUGAAUAUAUUAUAUAAAUAUAAUAUAAUCGCCUAAAGUCGAUUAAAUAAACAAUUAACGAAAGUGGGCGUUACAUAGAACAUGAUGGUAUUUUGAUGUUUUCCUUGAUGGCUUCCUUAUCUAUUGAGAAUCAAACAGUGAUUGAUAAACUACAAGUGGUAUGCGAUUUUCCAGAAGUAUUUCCUGAUGAAAUUCCUGAUGUGCCUCCAAAGAGGGAAGUUGAAUUUUCGAUUGAUCUUGUUCCUGGAACGAAGCCUGUGUCUAUGACACCUUAUCGUAUGUCAGCUUCUGAGUUGGCCGAGUUGAAGAAAUAAUUAGAAGAUUUACUUGAGAAAAAGUUUGUUAGACUAAGUGUUUCGCCUUGGGGAGCGCCCGUUUUGCUAGUGAAGAAGAAAGAUGGUAGCAUGAGGUUGUGUAUUGAUUAUCAACAGUUGAACAAUGUAACAAUAAAGAAUAGGUAUCCACUUCCGAGAAUUGAUGAUUUGAUGGAUUAGUUAGUGGGUGCACGUGUUGUCAGCAAGAUUGAUUUGAGAUCAGGUUAUCACCAGAUUAAAGUAAAAGAUGAAGAUAUGCACAAGACAGCUUUCAGAACGCGUUAUGGACAUUAUGAGUAUAAAGUUAUGCCUUUCGGUGUUACAAAUGCACCUGGAGUAUUUAUGGAGUACAUGAAUCGCAUCUUUCAUGCAUUUUUGGAUCGGUUCGUGGUUGUUUUUAUUAAUGAUAUUUUGAUUUACUCCAAGUCUGAAGAAGAGCAUGCUGAGCAUUUGAAGCUGGUUUUGUAAGUGUUGAAAGAGAAGAAGCUUUAUGCGAAAUUGUCUAAGUGUGAAUUCUGGUUGAAAGAAGUGAGCUUUCUUGGACAUGUUAUUUGUGGUAGUGGUAUUGCAGUAGAUCUGUCUAAAGUUGAAGCAAUAUCGCAAUGGGAGACUCCUAAGUCGGUUACUGAGAUUAGAAGCUUUUUGGGAUUGGCUGGUUAUUACAGAAGAUUUAUAGAAGGAUUUUCCAAGUUAGCACUUCCGCUAACACAGUUGACUUGCAAAGGUAAAGCCUUUGUGUGGGAUGUUCAAUGUGAGAAUAGUUCCAGUGAAUUGAAGAAGCGGUUGACGACAACUCCAGUUUUGAUUUUGCCAAAGUCAGAUGAACCUUUUGUGGUAUAUUGUGAUGCGUCCAAGCUGGGUUUAUGUGGUGUGCUUAUGCAAGAUGGUAAAGUAGUAGCUUAUGCUUCGAGAUAGUUGAGAAUUCAUGAGAAGAAUUACCCUACGCACGAUUUAGAGUUGGCUGUUGUGGUCUUUGUAUUGAAGAUAUGGAGACAUUACUUGUAUGGUUCGAGAUUUGAGAUAUUUAGUGAUCAUAAGAGUUUGAAGUAUCUGUUUGAUCAGAAGGAAUUGAAUAUGAGGCAGCGUAUAUGGCUUGAAUUGUUGAAGGACUAUGAUUUUGAGUUGAGCUAUCAUCCAGGUAAAGCUAAUGUUGUUGCAGAUGCUUUGAGUAGGAAGACCUUGCAUAUGUCUGCCAUGAUGGUAAAGGAGUUCGAGUUGCUUGAACAAUUCAGAGAUUUGAGUUUAGUUUGUGAAAUGUUAUCUGAAAGUGUGAAGCUAGGAAUGCUGAAGAUUGAUAAUGAAUUCCUGAAGAGUAUUAAAGAAGCGCAAAAAGUUGAUGUUAAGUUUGUAGACUUGUUGGUUGCUAGUGAUCAGACUGAAGACAGUGACUUUAAAAUCGAUGAUCAAGGUGUGUUGAGGUUUCGAGGUAGGAUUUGUAUUCCAGACGAUGAUGAGAUGAAGAAAAUGAUUCUUGAAGAGAGUCAUAGAAGUAACUUGAGUAUUCAUCCGGGAGCUACGAAGAUGUAUCAUGAUCUAAAGAAGUUGUUUUGGUGGUCUGGAUUGAAACGCGAUGUUGCACAGUUUAUGUAUUCUUGUUUGAUUUUUCAGAAGUCGAAGGUUGAGCAUCAGAAACCUGCUGGUAUGAUGGUGUCUUUAGAUGUGCCAGAGUGGAAAUGGGAUAGUAUAUCCAUGGAUUUUGUGACGAGUUUGCCGAAUACUCCUAAAGGGAAUGACGCGAUUUGGGUGAUUGUUGAUAGAUUGACUAAGUCGGCUCAUUUUCUUAUGAUUAAUAUCAGUUUUCCUGUUUCUCAGUUGGCAGAGAUUUAUAUUCGAGAUAUUGUGAAGUUGCAUGGUGUUCCUUCGAGCAUUGUGUCAGAUAGAGAUCCAAGAUUUACUUCUAGAUUUUGGAAAAGUUUGCCAGAGGCUUUAGGUUAUAAGUUGAGGUUGAGUUCGGCGUAUCAUCCGCAAACUGAUGGUUAGUCGGAGAGGACGAUUCAGUCGUUAGAAGAUUUGUUGAGAGUUUGUGUACUUGAGGAAGGAGGAACUUGAGAUAGUCAUCUUCCAUUGAUAGAGUUCACGUACAAUAAUAGUUAUCAUUCUAGUAUUGGAAUGGCACCUUACGAGACUUUGUGUGGUCGGAGAUGCAGAACUCCGUUGUGUUGGUUUGAGUCAGGUGAAAGAGUAGUCUUAGGACCAGAGAUUGUUCAACAAAUUACUUAGAAGGUUAAGAUGAUUCAAGAGAAGAUGAAAGUUUCGGAGAGUCGACAAUAGAGUUACAAUGAUAAGCGUAGGACAGAUCUUGAGUUUCAAGAAGGAGACCACGUAUUUGUGAGAGUCACUCCUGUGACUGGUGUUGGACGAGCUUUGAAGUCAAAGAAGUUGACCCCGAGAUUUAUUGGUCCGAAUCAGAUAUCGGAAAGAGUUGGAACGAUGGCGUAUCAAGUGGGUUUACCACCGCAUCUUUCGAAUUUGCACUUUGUGUUUCAUGUGUCGCAACUUCGGAAGUAUGUAUCGGAUCCCUCCCAUGUGAUCCAAAGUGAUGAUGUGCAAGUUAGAGAUAACCUUACGGUUAAGACUUUACCGAUAAGGAUUGAUGAUCGAAAAGUGAAGACGUUCAGAGGCAAAGAGAUACCUCUUGUGAGAGUCGUUUGGGACAGAGCGACUUGUGAAAGCUUAAUGUGGGAGCUAGAGAGUAAGAUGCUGAAUCUUAUCCAUAGUUGUUUGCUUGAGGUAAAUUUUCGAGGACGAAAAUCUUAUAAGUUGGGGAGAGUUGUAACGCCCGUUUCGAAUUGUUUAAUUAUUUAAUUAUUUAAUUGAGUCUAGAAGUUAUUUAGAUUAGUUUAUAUUAUAUUUAUAUGAUAUAUGUGUGAUUUAAGAGGUUUAUAUGAUUGAGGUGGUUUUAUAUGAUUUUAUGAGGAGUUGUGACUUAUUUUGUUGUGUCGCGUCAUUUUUCGGAGAUCAAAGCUAUUUGAUUAGCUAUUUGACUCACUAAUUUAUUUCACGACUAAACAUUUAAUUUUUUAAGAAAAAGGGGAAAAAAGUUCAAAACACCCCAUAUUGAGAGAUUUAGGGUUCGGGGGUUGGUUAUAUUUAGGGAAGGUAUUAGCAUCCUAAAUAUUCGUAGUACUCUACGAGAACCUCUUGAUUUUAUUUAAUUAAUGUGCUAUAAACUUGCUUAUUAUUUUUGAAAAGAAAGAAUUAAAGUGGAAAAAUAAAAGACCUAAUUAUCUACAUUUUAUUGAUUUGGAAGGACAUGGUCCUCUGCCUACGUACCCGUGAGGGAUCAAAACCUCGUAGUUCGGGGUAGAAAAUGACGUUUUAUUUGUUUGGUAUUUUUUAUUUGUUUUGAAAAAAGGUUUUAAAAUGAAAAGCCAAGUGGCAAAUAAGAAUUUGUUUGUAUUUUUUAUAUUAAAAGAAAAUGACUAAAAAUAUGAUUAAAUUGGUUAAAGUUUGAUUAAGAAAAUAAAAUAAAAGACGGUCACUUGAUUUAAGAUCAAGGUUUGUUUAUGAAAAUAUUUUUGUGAUUUUUGAUUAUUUGCAUGUUUUUGUUGUUUUUUGGAAUAUUAAAUGAAAAUUAAACUAACGGAGCAAUAAAAAUAAAAGCGCGUGGAUUUUUGUAGUGACGUUGUAUCACCACAAAAUCCCUAAUCUAAUUUUUUUGAAUUUUUGGAUAUAUCUAAGGCGGUAAAGAAAUAAAAGGACACACACACCCACACACUUUUCUCAUUUAUAUUUACAUUGAACCUAAAUACAUUCUAAUUGCUGGAAAAUAGAUAACAAUAUAAUUAAAAUGCUAAAUAAAAUAAAAUAAAAAUGCUAAAAUGCUAAAAAGAAAUAAAAUGCAAGAAAAUAAAAUAAAUGGACAACCAAAGGGACAAAAAUUACCGAAGGAACAAAAUUUCGAAGGGACUUUCCGAAGGGACAGAAAAAAGGAGGAGAAGAAAAGAAUAGCUCGUCAACACAAGCUAAGAGGGAGAAGAGAGAAAAGUUCUUUGACAACUCAAUAGAACUUUUGGUGUCUGAAAUUGUGUGGAAUGAGAGCUCUAUUUAUAGGUGAGGAGGUUGAUGAAAAAUGGAAAAUUGGUUUAAUGGAAAUGAUGGACAAUUAUGGUGAAUUUUGAAAAAGGAAUGUCAAAGUUGACACUUGACUUGAAUUUUUUUUAGACGUUGGACAUUUUAUUCUUGGACCUAUUGACACUUUGUUUUUUUGGGACACUAAUUAAUUAAAAGAAAUAAAAUAAAAAUAAAAUAAAUCUAAUACGAAAUAAAAUAAAAAACAAAUUAAACUAAAUUAUGUAAAGAAAAAUAAAAUUAAAAGAUGGAAAAUAAAAAUUAUUAAAUAUAAAAAAUAGUAACUAACCUUAAAAUAAAAAUCAAUAAAAGAUGGAAAUUAGAUAAUGAAAUAAAAAGAUAAAAAAGAAAGAAAAGAGGGCCCGACUCGAAAUCAAAAUUGAGGUAUUUUAAAAUACCUCUCUGCCGAAUUUUCAUUGAAAAAUCAGAGAUCGAUCAGAGUCAAGUGACACGGCCUUAGGUAAAAAAUUGGGGUAUGACAGAUGCCCCUAUUUAAGUUUCUUCGUCAGGAGAUUUGAAGAUGAAAUCUUUGAUUUGACGAGUCGAAGAGACUUAAAUACAAAGUACACCAUUUUUGACCUAAGAUCCUACGGAUGCAUGUGAUGCAAUUUAUGAAUACAGGAUGAUUUGAUUUGAAUGAGAAAUAACAACGGGACACCCGAAUUCGUUGAAGAAAAAGGGGUCCAACUCCGCUAGGGGAAUGUAGUUUCACUAGGGAAAAUGAUUGUCUACUAUCGUAUUGAUAGCUUAACAGAGACGAUUGAUACUUUUACCUAACUAUCGAUGAGAUAGCUUAACAAAGGUAAGAAUGAAAGAAAAACUAUCGUCUAACUAUCGUUGAAAUGAUAGCUUAACAAAGACAAAUGAUACUUUUACCUAACUAUCGAUGAGAUAGCUUAACAAAGGUAAGAAUGAAAGAAAAACCAUCGUCUAACUACCGUUGAAAUGAUAGCUUAACAAAGACAAAUGAUACUUUUACCUAACUAUCGAUGAGAUAGCUUAACAAAGGUAAGAAUGAAAGAAAAACCAUCGUAUAACUAUCGUUGAAAUGAUAGCUUAACAAAGACAAAUGAUACUUUUACCUAACUAUCGAUGAGAUAGCUUAACAAAGGUAAGAAUGAAAGGAAAACCAUCGUCUAACUACCGUUGAAAUGAUAGCUUAACAAAGACAAAUGAUACUUUUACCUAACUAUCGAUGAGAUAGCUUAACAAAGGUAAGAAUGAGAGAAAAACCAUCGUCUAACUACCGUUGAAAUGAUAGCUUAACAAAGACAAAUGAUACGUUUACCUAACUAUCGAUGAGGUAGCUUAACAAAGGUAAGAAUGAAAGAAAAACUAUCGUCUAACUAUCGUUGAAAUGAUAGCUUAACAAAGACAAAUGAUAUUUUUACCUAACUAUCGAUGAGAUAGCUUAACAAAGGUGACGAGAUAAAACCGCAAGUGCACGGUCUUACCGAAGUAGUACAAAAGAGUAUCGUUCCGACAGGGAGUAGUUCAAUUUAAUUAACCUUUAGAGAUGAUUAGAAGAGAAAAGAGAUUUUAAAUUGGGGGUUUUAAACGGUUAAAAGCAAUAUAAUAAAAGAGCCUUGGGAUCGUUGGUUUUAUCUAAGUGACAAGUCCUUCUCAAACCAAAACCAUAAGCUUAUAAUGUUAUGUUAGACCUAAUUUCUCAAGACAGUUUCUCUUAAGUUCCUCUAGCAACCAAGCCUAUUUCGCUGACCUGAUUACUAUUGGAUUUUGGUUCCUCUAACAACCAAGCCUAUUUCGCUGACUUGAUUGUUAUUAGUUCCCUUGAAGAUCGAAACUAUAUGUCUCAAAGAUUGCAAAGCCUAUUUCGCUGACUUUGCAAUCCUUGUCUGAAUUCACUUGUUCGAAUAUCAAAGCUCCACUUUCGUUUUAUGAAUUGAUAUUUGGAAUAAUGGAUGAACAAUUAUCAAACCCUCCACUUUCGUUCCCACAGUUUGAUAAUGGUUAAUCCAUGUUAAGACGGUGAAUUCAGAUAAGAAAUUAGGGUUACAUAAGAUUAAGGCUUAGGGCUUGGUUUGAUUAGGAUUAUGUCAUUUAGACUUAUCCAACAAUCCCAAGACAAGAAGAAGUCUACUCACUCAUGUUCAUCGUAGACAUGGGGGAGAAGAGAGAAAGCAUGAAAGUAAAAGACAAUGAAAUAAAGGAAAAGAACUUUAUUUAGAAAAGCAAAUGUCACUUAUUGUAUUCCAAGUAAAGAUGAAUAUUAGUGAUGGCUAGCUACUCUAUUUAUAGUACACAAUUGACUUAAAAUCUAAGCAAGUAUAUUCCUAGAAUAUUCCUCGGUAGAUUGUGCGUCAAAAUAGAAUAGCUUGGAGUCAAAGCAAAAGCAGCAAAAGGCAUCUGGAGGGUGGCACGGCCGUGCCAAGGCUAGCACGGGCCGUGCCAAGCUUCUGACUUGUGGGAGAUAUAUUUUGUUUCCCAAUCUUCAUGUUUUUGUGUCCAAUCUGCUCCAAAUCCCUUUCUUUUGCUCCAAGACUCUCUCCAUCCAAUAUUCUUCCCUGAAAUAUAAUAAAUUGCAUUUUAAAGUAAACUAUCCUAAAAAGGAAAUAAUACUAAUAUAAAAUUAUAUAAAAUCUAAUUAAAACUAAACUAAAAAGCAUAUUAAAAUAACAUAUAAAUGAUUCAUCAAACUCCCCCAUACUUGAAUCUUUGCUUGUCCUCAAGCAAAAGGCAUAAACAUAGUAACAUCAACAGUUAAAUCAAAUGACAAUUAAUUAAAGCACAUGUCUCCUCAAGGGCUUAAAUCCCAAAAUGUACACUAAUCACAAACUCAAGUAUUUCUUGAAAUCUUUAUUCUACCCAACAAUCAAGUUUCAAGUGAGAGUGUGUGUGAAGUCCAACCCUUUUCUUGCUCCUGUAUAAAAUAGGUAUAAUGAGGAAACAUGGUCUAAUCUUAGCACUAAACUAACCAAGAAAAAUUCCUUCUACAAUUCAUAUAAAAGAGAUGGGAGUUUUUGAGAAUCUUUGUUCUUUUGCCAUAUGCACAUUUUAAGUUCUUUAUUUAAGGGACAACAUUUUCACGUAGGAGGUCGGAGGGCCUACCCCCUUCCCCAAUCUAGAUUCAAUGAUAUUCCUUAAAACAUCGUCUUCACGUAGGAAGUCGGAGGGCCUACCUCCUUCCCCAAUCUAGUUUCAACAAUGCUUUUAUCAGUUUUUCUCAAGAUAACAAUCACCUUCACGUAGGAAGUCGGAGGGCCUACCUCCUUCCCCAAUCUAGAUUCAGUGAUGAGAUCUUGGAAUUAUUUGGCUUUUUGGCUUUUUAUGAUCUCCCUUAUACUCACUUAUACUACUGGCGCUUUGAGAAUUUUUAAAGGUUAAUGCACCAUUAAGAUUAGAACGCGUUUCCUUAAAAUACCUAUUCAUACAUUUACUCAAGGGAAGCAACUUUGUGUUUUUCUCAUUGGAGAAUUUUAUUCACUUUGAAACAAGAUGUGGUUAUAUCAAGAAGACUUAAAACACAAGAGUUUGCUUUCAUGUACAAGAGUCAACAAAAUAAGAGGAGACAAUGAAAAUUUUUGUGUCAUGAUUUUUUUUUCAAUAAAAAUUAGCUACUUAACUAUGCCUUUUACAAUAAAACAGAACAAAAGAAUAAAGUUCAAGGGAGUUUGGAAAUACUACGACUACUGACACUUUAUUAGGCUCCCCCCACACUUAGGAGAAGCAUUGUCCUCAAUGAUUCAAGAUAAAAAGAAAAAUAACAGAGAAGUAGAGGUAGAAGAAGAAGAAGCAGAAGAAGAAGGAGAAGGAUAAGAAGGGAAGAGUGGAAGAGGAAAGCUCACAGUUUUAUCAUUGAGGUCCAUAUGGAGGACCUUGGAGGUGAAAGUGGUGCAUCAUGUUCCGAAGCAUUUGGUUAUUUUCUUCGGAUAUGCGGUUGCCCCUUUGGACAUCAUGCCUUAUGCUCAUGAGUUCAACACCUUGCCUUUGUUGCUCGGUGUUUAUUCUUUCAACCUCGGUAGUCAUCCAUUCCCAUCUCGCAUCUUCAUUUGUUUCAUCUUCAUUAGGGUCAUGGUAUUCCUCAUCAUGGUGCAGUUGUGCACCUUCCUCUUCUUGAUGCAAGUGUGCAUCCUCUGUUUCUUCAUUAUGCUGCUCUAUGUGCACCUGUGGGUCAUCUUCAACAUACAACAAAUUUGCUUCCACCUCGGUGUUAGUUCGAGAUGGGUUAGGCAAUAAAAUUAAGAUGGGCACAUUCAGUUGGAGUGUAUAGACAAAGGGGACUCGAGUUUUUAUGAAAUUCAUAGAGAUGAGAGUUUCUAUGUUUAGUCUAUUGUUACCCUCGAUCUUGUUUAUCCCUAGGUCUUCAUUCACACCGAAUCGCCCAGCUAUGUAUGUUAUAAUACCCCCCACUACUAUUUCUCCCCUACUAUCGGACCUAUUUCCUAUAAGGGAAAGGUAGUCAAGCAAGUAAAAACAAGUGUUAAUGGUUUGGUUGUGCAACAUAGCCCAAAGCAUGAAGAGUUCAUCAUUCCUAGUGUUCCCCAAUUCUUUCCGUCCCCUAAGGUACCUAAGUACGGGGUUGUGAAUGUUGCUAGCUUUGUUUGCACGUGUGUUAAAUUGGUCAAGACCGGUGAUUUGCUCCCAAAAGGCGGCGGGUUGAUAGUUAACCGGUUUUAAAUUUUGAUCCCAAGAGUCGUGGAUGAACCCCGCAUUGGCGAAGCCCAUCUCAUCACAGAAGUGUUGAAGAAACAUCUCAUAAUCAAUAUUCAAAAGCCGGAAAGAAACUCUAUGGUUAGGGUUAUCAAAGUUCAACCUAUAUUUCGUAAAAACAAUAGAACUUAAAAAUUCAUAGGUGAAGUUUUCAUACCCUCGCAUAGGUCUCAACAUAUCAACCCAUCCUAGCCUUUCUAGCAGUUUUAACACAUUAUCCUUAAUACCUAGCUUAUUCAUGUCAUGGUUAUCAGGGUACCUGCAAGGUUGUAGAGGUUUAGAGAUUAGAAGUUUGUACCUAUCCCUUUGCUUGUUGUCCCGGAAGAUGAUGCCAUGAUUUUUGGCUUGUGCCUUCUUCUUUGGGGGAGGUCCCCCGGAUGAGCUUGCAACUUCCUUUCCACUUCUCUUUGAAGUCAUUGCCCUGACCUUGCCUUUGGUGUGGUGGUUUGGUUAAGGGUUGUUUUGGUGGAAAAAGGUUGCACUAGCGUUGUGUUGAAGGUUUAUGUGAGUUUUUGAGGUUGGGUUAGGGAGGUUGGUGACAAAUUUAUGGUUUUUGGGUUAGGUUAUGGAGGGUUACGAAUUUGGGUGAUGUUGGUUGGGGUGGAUGAAAGUUGUUUUGGAAUGGUGGGUUAUGAUUGGAAUGGUGUUAGUGAUUGAUUGGGUGGAGAAAUUUUGUGAAUGGGUGUGAUUUGGGGGUAGUUGUGAAGGUUUGUAGUUGUAUGGUUAUGGAGGUUUGAGAGAGAAGGUGUGAAGUAGAGAGAAGUUUGUGUUGGAGAGUGAGGGAAGAAGAAGAUGAAAAGGUGGGUUUAUCCUUACCUGUAGUCGGGCACGGCCGUGCCAACCUUAGCACGG
RNAcentral lists this long non-coding RNA (65507 nucleotides) under Medicago truncatula (barrel medic). RNAcentral's name for it is "long non-coding RNA (MTRU_LNC004283)". The stretch from base 48716 to 48797 matches the Rfam family "tRNA". Lineage: Eukaryota; Viridiplantae; Streptophyta; Magnoliopsida; Fabales; Fabaceae. The record is from RNAcentral.